Molecule: long non-coding RNA, 64707 nt
Filed under: Capsella rubella
Lineage: Eukaryota; Viridiplantae; Streptophyta; Magnoliopsida; Brassicales; Brassicaceae
Description: long non-coding RNA (CRUB_LNC004397)
Rfam family: U5 spliceosomal RNA (bases 15682-15798)
Source: RNAcentral
AAAAAUAUUACCUACAUUGACGCCUUAAGAUUUCAUAUUACUCAAAAAGUAUAGUAUAUUUUAAAAUCCAAAAAAUGAGUAAUCUCAUUGUUUUUGUAUUAGCUAUCGCUAUGUGUUUUGGUUUGAACGAAGGUAUUGUGUGUAGUAAUCCUAAUAACCAGUUGGAACGAUGUGGAGGCUCUGGUUGUGCCCUAAACACUUUGAAACUACGAAACGAACUCGGUCGUGGUAGUCUUCUCAAAAUCGAUUGCACAUCCAACCAAAACAAGAAAACAGGUCCACGCGAUGUUAGAUUCAAUCAGUCAUACGCUUUUGAUUUCGAAGAGGUUCAUUCCCACAGAAUAGUGUGGGCUUGUCAUUUGAGGCAUGGUCCAAAAUUGGAGUAUCAUCAGAGCAUAUGGAGAGCAUAUAGAGGAGCUGCUACUAAACGAUGUGGUCAAACACGUACAUGGAUUGCUAGACCUAAUGGUAUUUACAUGAACAAAAACUUCGUACCGCAAGGGUUUCGAUUUGCAUGGCUUAAAAGAUGAGUCAUCUUUUUUAAAAAACAAUUAUUUAUUUAUUUAUUGUGUACUAAAUCAUCAUUCUAAUAUUGGGAUUUAGAAUAUACAAGAAUUCUUUUUCUAUAAAAUAGGAUUUUGUAUGAUAUAUCUACAUAUAUUGUAAUCAAUAUUUUGAAUUAUAUAUCAUAUUAUUGUCCUUAUAUACUGAUUCUUUUUCAAGAAAUUGUCUUUUACUCCAAGCCAUAUCACCUUCUUCAUCUUGUACAAAUAUACAAUCUUUGAUCAGUUUCUAUAAAAACAAAAAAAACAAAUGGGCCUCACGAUUAUAAAAUAAUGGGCCUUACGGAUUAGAACAAAAUGGGCCACUAGUGUUUUUUUCAGAUUCUUUCAUAUUUCCCGUUCCGGGAAAGCAACGGAGGCGGUUGUCUUAGUCGCCGGCGGCAAAUGGAGUGUGCCGCGCGUGGCUUUUCUACGCGGUGCGUUGGUCCAGCGAUGCGGAGGUGUGGCCAGUGUGGUGCUGUGGCGUAUUGCUCAGUCUCUCAUCAGGUUUUUACUUCUGCUUACUUUCUUAAGCCUUCUUCUUCAUAUCGACCUAAUCGGUUCUAGAGAAACAAAGACGUAGUGAUUUGAUCGAUCUCUUGUAUGCUUGUUAGAUAGGUUUGUAGUUAAGAUUUAAUUAACUCAUGAAAAUUUUACAUUAAGAGUUCAAUCGUUGUUUGACAAAAAAAAAAAAAAAAAAGAGUUCAAUCGUUUGAUCAAUAGGUUCAUUGUUAAGUUUUGUGGAUGAUCUUGAUUUGGUUGUAGAGUUCACAUUGGAGCUAUCACAAGGAUGAAUGUAAGAGAUUAGAAGAACAAAUGCGUCGUGUUGAUCUGUUAAAUGAUUUCCCUUUUACAUUUACAGAAGAAGCUACAGUUCAGGUUUGUGAUAACUUAUGGAUGAUAUUGAGGAAUCUAAUGCCUUUUUUUGGUUCAUGAAAAUUUAGCUCAAAGUUUGUUUUUUUUCUUCGUUUAUUUGUGCUUAGGUUAGUCGAAAACAGGAGAGUAGGUGCUCGUUUCUCAGCAAAAGGGAUUUACAUCCUGUUGGAAUGUGGAUGUAUGAGUGUAAAUGUGGAGCCUCUGCUUCUUUUUCGGCUUCUGAUAGGUUUUGAUCGCUUAUCUUUCUCUCUUUGUCUAAUGAGAAUUACGUUUUGAUUUUGAGCCAUUGUAAAUUGAACUGAUUACUAUCUUUUCUGUACAGUUUUAGAAAUGAAGGUUGGCAUCUGCCAAGUUCUUCUUGUCCAUGUCGUGGUAAGAUCCAGUUUACUUCUAUGUUUGUGGUUAACAAAAAGUUUGUUUUUUAAUAGAUUUCUGAUUUGGGAUCACACAGGCCCUUUAUAUUCAGUUACGAAACAGCUUUGUAGUUGGACGGGUUAUUUUGAGUGGAGAAAGAUACCUCUAGAUUCUCCUGUAGCUCUACUUCUCCACUGGGUAACAGUUUUUGUAAUGAUUAAUGUGAUUGCUAGUAUAGCUAGAAUGCUUGACGUUUUCAAUCUAUUGACUCAUGGAGCUUGCUUUUAUUUCAGCCACUUACGAUAUAUCAUGCAAUUCAAGUCGUUGGGAUGGGAAAUUUGAGUCCGCAAAUAAGUGAUGAACUUCGCAUACAUUAUCUUGGUAUGUUUCACUCUGUAACUGUAUUCUCUUUGAGGUUGCUUUGUUGUUUCUCUUUCUUGCAGUUUUUUGCUAAUCACCUUCAUUGUACUUAAUUCUAGUGUCGUACCUUAUUCUUGGCAUAUGGAAAGUAUAUAAAUAUUUGGAAAGAUACACCAUAGCAACUAUGAUAUAAAUUCUGAUGACAUGGUUUGCUGAUAGUUUUGAGCUUCUGAAGGGCCUCAGAAAGAGCUUGGCCAACUUGGUGUCUUCACUGAGCUGCAAGCCCUCUUCCCUGGUCUGCAAAUACGUGUAGAGCUUGUUGGACCUGACGUUCCACAACAUAUGUGAGUCCCGCAUUCCACAAUCUGUUUGAUUGUUUUGUAAAACACUCGUUAUAUUAUUAGUUAGGCAAAGUAAAUUACAUCAAAAGAUAUGUUUUCCUCUUUACCACUUUUCAUUAGAGUACUUAAAGCUGUUCAUCGGCAAUGUUGUAAGCUGUUUUUGUGUGUGUGUGUGUAUUGACAUAAAUAUGAUGAAUCUUUUCAUUUUGCUCUCUUGGUGACAGGGAUGGAGAGAUGAUCUCGCUUAGCAGAUACCCCCCUUGCAUGGCAGAAGAAUGCGAAUGUAAUUAUUCAAGCGAAAUUCCCAAUCUCGGUAACGAAUCUGCCUUGUCUUCAGCUGUGUCGUUACAGCUACAUAGAGGAUUUUACCAUGAUCGUUACAGUGACAUAACAAAGGUAUCCCUUUCUACUCAUCUAGAAACGGUAAUCUACAGUAGUGUUCUCAAAUGUCAUAUCCAUUUUUAUUGGACCUUGAAUUGAUUGACCUUCUCUUCUGGGCAGGAUUCACCUCCUCCUCACAUAGUGAUUGCUCCAAACGCUGGCGUUGCUGCAUAUCCAAGUUGGUUGCCAACUAUUGUACGUUUUUCCAAUAGCUGAUUUUCACAUUCAAUCUUUCGCAGGAAUAUCAUUUAUAUAUCUGUUCUUCAUUCAUGAGUUGGUGUGAAUAACUUCAGGAACUGAUAAAGGAGAUAAAAGUCCCAGCUGUAUUCACUGAUUACUGUGAAGAAGCUUGUCAUCUGGCGGCUUGUUGCAUUAAAACCAUCACAGGACAACCUCUAUCAUUACCUGUAAGUCUAGAUUAUAGAUUCACUAUUCUAUUCAACUUUUUUCAAAUCUAUGUUUUUUGUUAUGUGGGUUCCUCCUGCAUAAGUUCAGGCUUAUGUCUCAUCAAAACUGUAAAAGUAGAAUAGAGAGUCGACACAUAUACUAUAUAAUGAAGUUGAAGGAGACAAAAACACCAGUUUUUCAUCAUUAUCUAUACAAUAUUCAUCUUUGGGGCCACACACACAGACACACUAAUGUCCAGUUCUCCAAUCAACCUUUUGUGGACAAUGAAAAUAUAAACUUUUUUCUUAUAACCAUAUUGAUAUGUAUGGAAUGGUGUAUCCUUGAAAUGCAGAUUGAUUUGAAUCCAUUCAGACAGCCGAUGGCCGUGGAGGAGAGUCCUCUGUUUAUCCCUUGCUACUCAAACUGCUUCAUCUUCGCAAUGUAAAACUCUCCAACACUGUUGAUCGGCUAUGUGGUUCCAUGCUAUUGUCUGGGAAGGACCGUACCAGUCUAUGGACCAACAUUAUCUCUUCAAUGAAUUGUAGAAAAUGUCACAUCAUUUUGUUUUGGUUGUUGUAGUUAUUUAUGUGGAUAGGACCAUCAUGUGCAUACAUACAAUCAUUGUAGUCUUUUUUAUCAUUAGAUGAAUAAUUUUAUCCCAUCAAAAAGUACUUCUAGUCAAAAAAAAAUUCUACAUGUGUCUCAUGUCAAGUGAAAUAAUGCAAAAAAGGCAAAGUUCAAAGCAUUGGACUUUUUUUCAUCAUCUUAUUAUAUAAACCUUGGUUUUCAAAGUUAGCCAUUAACAAGAUCGUGACACGUGUCAAUUAUAAUUGAUAAGAUAUUGACACAUGUCGUAACUAAUUUUGUUAAUAUUUGGAUAAUAUAGAAAUAUUAUUAACCUAUCGAAAAAGGAAAUAUAUAAAAUAAAUAUUAUUAAUAAAAUAUACAAAUAACCUAAUUUCAGUUAUGUCAAUUUGGUUUAUCAAUAAGAUAGGGAUUUAAAAUUUAUAAUUAACAAGAAUAUAUGACGAUUUUUGUUUACAGAAGAGAAUUAAGGUUUAAACUUUAAUUUUACGAUUAAAUCAGGUUAUUUGUUGGUUUGGGUAUAUAAAUGAUAAAUAAGAAUUAUGUUUUAUCNNNNNNNNNNNNNNNNNNNNNNNNNNNNNNNNNNNNNNNNNNNNNNNNNNNNNNNNNNNNNNNNNNNNNNNNNNNNNNNNNNNNNNNNNNNNNNNNNNNNNNNNNNNNNNNNNNNNNNNNNNNNNNNNNNNNNNNNNNNNNNNNNNNNNNNNNNNNNNNNNNNNNNNNNNNNNNNNNNNNNNNNNNNNNNNNNNNNNNNAAUGAAAGAGAAUUUUUGAGAAAUAUCCCUUUUGGUGUAUCACUUUUCAAAAAUACCUCAUUUAUCUAUCCAUUUUCAAAAAUAUCCAUGUUUAAAUAUGAAAAUUUUUAAAGUUUUAUAUGGUUUAUAAGGCACUUUUAUAUAAUAACUACUACUUGGAAAUUUGAUACAAAUAUUUUAUAAUGUUUUAAAAGAUUUUAAAUCGUUUUUACAAGUUUUAUAAGGUUUUUAAGUGGUUUUAAAAAGGGUUUAUAAGGUUUUUAAAAGGUAUUUAUAAAUUAUUUUACGCUAUUUAUGAAAGAUAUAUAAAAAUUUAAACAUAUAUCAAGGUAAUUUGUGUGUAUAUUUAUAAGUUUACACACAUAUUUGGAUAAAUUUUAAUAUUUAUAGUUGUUUUUUUAUAAAGUUUGAAAUAGGGGAAUUUUUAAAAAGUGGUAUGGAAAAAGGAUAUUUUUGAUAAAUUCAAAAGUAAAAAAAUUGAUAUUUAUAUAAAAAAAGCGUAAGCUUAUAUAUUUAGACACAAAUUAUCUUUCUAUUUGUGUAAAUUUUAAAUACCAUAUAAAUACCUUUUAAAAACCUUUUAAAAUUAUUUAAAAAACAUAUAAAAACUUUGUAAAUCUUAUAAAAACCUUAUAAAAGUCUUAUAAAUGCCGUUUAAAACCAUUUUAAAACUUUAUAAAUAUUUGUAUUGAGUCUCCCAAUAGUAAUGAUGAUCUAGAUGUACCUUAUAAACUAUAUAAAAGUUGACAAUUUUUCAUAUUUGAAAAGGGAUAUUUUUAAAAUGGAUAGAAAAUUGGUGUAUUUUUAUAAAGAGGUACACCAAAAGGGGUAUUUCUUAAAAAUUCUCUUUUAACUAUUAACCUAAUUUUUGGUUUUGCGAGUUGUAGGUUUUACAAUUAUAAGGGUUAUAUGUUGAGUUUAUAAAUGUGCAUUAUAGUUUAGAUUUUAUUAUUAAACGAGAUUAUUUAUCGGUUUGGGUUUAUUAAAGAUGAGUGAGAUUUAGGUUUUACAAUUAAACAAGGUUAUUUCUCAGUUUGGGUUCAUAAAGGAGAAUUAGGAUUUACAAUUUACAAAUAAAUUAGAUUUUGAGUUUAACUAAAUUCAUAAUUUUAUUCAUGAUUUCUAUUUUAUAAUAUGUUAUAUUUUUUUAAUUUUUAAUUUAUGUACGAAUGUAUUAUGCCAUUGAGCAAUUUUAUUGUCUAAAACAUAAGGGUGAAUAAAAUAACAAAGUUUAAUAUAAAUCGUAAUAUAGUAAUUUUAAAAUAUUUUUAAAGAAAAUAUGUAGUUUUUUAUAAUUCGUAAUUGAAAUUUUUUUUAAUGUUUUCCUCAACGAUGUUGUAAUUUAUUUUAGAAUCUUUAUGUUUAUUUGCGUUGUUUAUAUGAUUUUAUUUACAAAUGACUAUAUUUGUAUUUAACAUCAUAUUUUUGAUUGAUGUUAAUUUGAAAGAACUUUACCAUCAUAUUAAAUAAUAAUUAAUUAAUUUUCAUAGUCUGAGUAUGAUUUUUUGAAAAAUUGAAAGUUAAGAAAUAACAAUUUUUACAAAAUGGUAUAAUCAUGUUUUAGAGGAUAAUUGGUAAAUUAAGAUUUUUUGAAAUAUUUUAGCAAGAUUAUGAGUAAAGGUGAAUAGCUCCCAAAUAGCUCCCAAAUGUUUUGGUGAUUGUUAGUUUGACAUUACUAGAUUUAUAUAAUUAACGUUUUAUAACGAAUUUUAAUAAAUAUAUAUUUCAAACCAAAUAAAAUCUCUUUCCAAAUGAAAUUAAUUUCUCUUAUUUUUUCAAACAAAACUUUUGAAAUUAUAUUUUUAUAAUUUAUAAUAAAUUUUAAUUUUAAUUUAAUUUUAAAUAAAGAUAACCCGUCCAUCGGACGGGUACUAUACUAGUACAAUAUAAAGUUUUCACAGCCAUUGAACGCAGAGUACCGAACCAAACCGACCCUGAUUGAGUGAUUGUAAAUCUGGUUAUGGAGAUUUAACGUGCCAAGUCGCGUCUACGUGGAAGAUGAAACCAAAGCAAAGAAUCUUCGAACUUGUUUCUAAGAAAAGUCUGGCCACAGUUAAGUCUAUUUCUUCCACAUCCAAAACCAAGUUAAUGUUUUUAUCUCCCCCAAAGUCCAAUUUCCAAAAAUCCAAAACACCAAAGAGAGAGAGAGAGAAAAAAAAAAACUGAAAACAUCCCAAUGGAUCAUCCUCAACCUUGACAACACGAAACCCUCUUCCCCCAAAUCCCCCAAAAUCUUGGAACAUAGUCAAAAAAAUCACUCCUUGGAAGCGAUCUGAUCGAAUGUCUCAGAACCCAUCAUCACAUCAGACUCGUACCCUCUUCUUCCUCUUAUGUCUUCUUCUAGGGUUUGGUUUUUUCGUUGACCUGGGUCAAUCCCUGAAGGUUCCCUUCAGCGUUAACGAUGUUCUUCCGAUGCUACCUCGUCAAGUCUCGUGGCCCGUUUUGAACAGUUUCCACAACGCUGUGGAUUUGUUGCCGGUUUUUAUUGGGUCCGUUUCUCCUAAUAAUGCGUCUCUUGAGUGGAAAGGUGCUUGCUUUAAUGGCAACGAAGCUCGCCUCGAUAUCACCGGUAGUGAUCGUGAUGUCCCUGGACUCGGCGGUGGCGUUCUCCAUCUCAAAGUUGGUUCAUUUCACUUUCUUAGCUUUUCAUCUUCUUCAAUUACUAUUGUUUAGCUUGUUGAGAUCAAAUAUGUGUUAUACUUUAAAGAUUCUAUGCUCAAAUUUCUUAAAGUUUUUGCCUUUUGUGGUAACAAAUGAAGUUUAAAUUGGGAGAACGUUGUGUAGUUGCUGCUAAAUACUUUCAAAUUAGUUGUUUUGAUGAUAUUUGGGAACGUUUUUGCAGACAUCCAAGGCACAUAGCUUGACAUGUAUGGACCUAUAUGUCUUUGCAACGCCAUACAGGAUCACUUGGGACUACUAUUUCUCUGCUAGAGAUCAUACUUUGAACUUCGAUUCCUGGGAAGAGAAAGCUGAGUUAGAAUAUGUAGGUUUUUGUAUAGUUCCUUAAGAAGCUGUGUGGUGUUUGAUAGUCGUGGUGAUUUAUAUUAAAGUGUACUUUGAAUGUGUAGGUGAUGGAGCAUGGAGUUUCAGUGUUUUUAAUGCCAUCAGGAAUGCUCGGGACGUUGCUUUCUUUGAUUGAUGUGUUGCCUCUUUUCUCCAAUACUGCUUGGGGACAGAAUGCGAAUUUGGCGUUCUUGACGAAACAUAUGGGUGCUACGUUUGAGAAACGGCCUCAACCUUGGCGGUCAACUAUUAAUCCGGAAGAUGUGCAUUCUGGCGAUUUCUUGGCGCUGUCAAAGAUUCGAGGUAGAUGGGGUGGUUUUGAGACGUUAGAGAAAUGGGUGACUGGGGCUUUUGCUGGUCAUACUGCUGUUUGUUUGAAGGAUGAUUUAGGGAAUCUUUGGGUUGGUGAAUCGGGGCAUGAGAACGAAAAGGUAGACUAUAUUCGGAGAAAUUUCCUAAACAUUUCGAGGUUUUCGGAUAGAGAGGGAGAUAUUAACUCUCUUUUUCUCUCAUAGGGUGAAGAAAUCAUUGUUGUGAUUCCUUGGGAUGAAUGGUGGGAUCUGACUUUGAAGGAUAAUUCAAAUCCUCAAGUUGCUUUGCUUCCGCUACAUCCCGAUAUCCGAGCAAAGUUCAACAAUACUGCUGCGUGGGAAUAUGCGCGGAGCAUGUUGGGCAAACCAUAUGGAUAUCACAACAUGAUAUUCAGCUGGAUCGAUACUCUAGCCGAUAACUACCCACCUCCCCUUGAUGCUCACUUGGUACUUCUUAAUCUCUGAUAUUCUUAAAGAUACAUCAUCAUUAUCAUCGUCAUGGUAACAAACAAGUGACUUUGGACAUUCAGGUUAUUUCUGUCAUGUCUAUGUGGACUCGUGUACAACCCGCAUAUGCUGCAAAUAUGUGGAACGAGGCACUGAAUAAACGACUUGGUACUGAGGUAUACAUCUAUUUGCUCUUCUUUACAAAAACCUCUUUAUCUCAUCUGAAUAGGACAGGACAUACAAGAUAGAUAGCUAAGAAUUUUCUGCUGUAUAGGAUCUGGAUUUGUAUGGGAUUCUUGAAGAAACAGCGAGGCGUGGAAUGUCAUUUGAUGAGUUACUCACCAUCCCUGAACAGGAUGAGUGGGUUUAUAGCGACGGGAAAUCAACUACGUGUGUUGCUUUUAUCCUUGCAAUGUACAAAGCUGCUGGUGUUUUCGGCCCUCUUGCUGAUAACAUUCAAGUCACUGAAUUCACAGUGAGUUUCUUUCAAUAUCAAUACAUCACCUUCUUUUUUCUUCCAUUUAAUAUGACUCUUGAGCGUUUUCUUCAUUCUUACUUUCAGAUCCGAGAUGCGUACGCACUGAAGUUAUAUGAGAGUAACCAGACUCGGCUACCGAGUUGGUGCAACACAGAGGAAGGGAAGCUUGACUUCUGUCAGAUUUUGGGUGAAUACAGAAUGGAGUUACCUGGUUAUAACACCAUUGACCCAUAUCCCAACAUGAACCAGAAUUGCCCUUCUUUACCUCCUAAUUACGAGAGGCCUUCUAAGUGUUAGCAAAGUUAAUUUUAAGUGCUGUUUGUCUCUCUCUCUCUCUCUCUCUGUCUGUGUUUGUCUAUUUGUUCAAAGCUAUGACCCUUUUAGUUAGAGGGGAAGAAAACCACGUUUUAAGUACAAUCUUUUGUGUGAAUAUAUGAUAUGAUGAUGGUUUUAUCAAAUCCAAUGGUGUCUGCGUAGUCCCUAGUGCUCUGCUUCAUUUGUUCGAGACCUCUGUUUUUGUGAGAAUGCAAUAGUCAUAACUCAUAAGGCAGAAAACGAAUAAAAGAUGCUAUAGUUACAGUAUUCAUCCAUUUGCCAAGUCUGUUCGAUUUAUGCUUAAACUAUAACCCAAGAGGUCAAUUUGAAGGAUUUAAUAAGAUUUUUGAAGAAUUGACAAAAUGUUCGAACUCAAAGUAUAAAAAUGAACCAACCUAACCUAUGAUUAUAAUUUAGUUGACAGGGACCAGGAAGCUAUCAAACUCAUGACGUCGUUAAAGACGUGUAAGUCGAACAUUUCGUUGAUGGCUUUUCCGACCAAACCAACUCCCACUUGAAACUAAAACAAAAGCAAAAACUUAGUUCAACGUCUUUUAUUUGACUCCACCACCUAGUUCCCUCAAACCGGUUUAUUAGCAUCGGUCAACCUAUCAAACCGGACCAAAUAUUAAUGUUGCACAAGAGUCUUCUUCUUCUACUCUUGAAUCUAGAUGACCUCUGCCAAGUUUGAACGUGACUAAGACCAAUAGAUGUUUCUAUUGGAAUCAUUCACCAUUCUGAUUCUUAUAUUAUAAAAUCUAGAAAUUUGGCAGAGACACGCAAACGAUUCCCAACGACCUCUCACCCGCCAACACAAAACGCAAACGCAGUAGCUUGACCUUAAAUUAUAUGCUUGUUAUAUAUUUUUAAAAACCAUCUUCAAACGGCUUUACCUGUUUUUAGCUUUCAUCUCUAAAUUCUCUCCUAAAAUCCUAAAUAUUACCUCUCUCUAUUUGUUUCUUUUCUACUUUUUUUUUUCUUUUUGGGUGGCUACCUAUAAUCCGAAAACCACCAUGAGGUUUUGCGUUUUCGGGUUUUUAUCGCUUUUCUUGAUUGUUUCUUCACCUGCCAACGCUUGGUUCUUCCCUAACAACUCCACCAAGAUACCACCGUCUCUACGUAACACCACACGCGUUUUCUGGGACGCUUUCUCCAAUUUCACCGGUUGUCACCACGGCCAAAACGUUGAUGGUCUCUACCGUAUCAAGAAAUACUUCCAGCGUUUUGGUUACAUCCCUGAAACGUUUUCAGGUAAUUUCACCGAUGAUUUUGAUGAUGUUCUCAAAACAGCCGUCGAGUUGUACCAGAGGAAUUUUAGGCUUAACGUUACAGGUGAACUCGACGCGCUUACCAUCAAACACAUCGUGAUCCCGCGUUGCGGUAAUCCCGAUGUGGUGAACGGUACCUCGUUGAUGCACAACGGGAGAAGAAAGACCUUCGAGGUCAACUUCUCCCGCUCUCAUUUGCACGCGGUUAAACGCUACACGUUGUUCCCAGGCGAGCCACGGUGGCCUAGAAACCGCCGUGACUUGACCUACGCGUUCGACCCGAGAAACCCCUUGACGGACGAGGUAAAGAGCGUGUUCGCACGCGCGUUUGGUCGUUGGUCGGACGUGACGGCUUUAAAUUUCACGCCCUCUGAAGAUUUUACCUCGUCCGACAUCACGAUCGGAUUUUACACCGGCGAUCACGGAGAUGGCGAGCCUUUCGACGGCGUAUUAGGAACAUUAGCUCACGCCUUCUCUCCUCCGAGUGGGAAGUUCCACCUCGACGCAGACGAGAACUGGGUGGUCUCCGGGGACCUAGACAGUUUCCUCUCAGUCACGGCGGCGGUUGAUCUUGAAUCAGUGGCGGUUCAUGAGAUCGGUCAUCUUCUCGGUUUAGGACAUUCCUCGGUGGAGGAAUCCAUCAUGUAUCCGACGAUCACGACGGGAAGACGUAAGGUUGACUUAACCAAUGAUGACGUGGAAGGAAUCCAGUACUUAUAUGGUGCGAACCCUAACUUCAAUGGCACGUUACCACCGUCCACCCCCACUCGCCAACGAGACACUGGUGCCUUCUUUGGUGCUGCUUGGAGAAUCAACGGUUCAUUGAGAUCGACAAUUUUCAGUUUGUUAUUGUCAACCGUUGGAUUGGUCUUGUUGUUCUUACCUUAGAUAAAAAAUUUUUCGUACUUAAUUUUUUUUUUAAUUAGUAUCACAUCUUAAUUUUUUUUUUUUUAAUUAAAGGAUGGGGAUAUAUACUCAGACAUUUGUUCCUUUCUACAGUUUUCUUUUCACAUAUACAUGUUGUAUAUAAAUUGCUUUAUCAAUGUUUGACUUCGUGUUAUACAUUUUUCUAACCUAUGUUUAUUUAAAACAUUUGUAAGCUUGUCCAAGCCAAUGACUCAAUCGACCGGGGAAUAAGAUGUCUACUCAUAUGCAUGAUUAGAAAAAUACACAAUCACCUUGUCGCGUUUAAGUUGUGUUAAACUUCUCAAUGAUGGUUGGCUGAAUUUAGAGAUUUUAAAACAUGGUUUAGCAAUAAAUAAUUAAUUAUACUUUAAAUAUCAUAUAGUAUUGUACAAUAUAUAACCUCUAUAAAUUAAUUACCCGGAUAAAUAAAUAGUUUUUUCGGUUACGAAUUAAAUUUUCCGAAUGGUUACUAUGUUGAUAAAUAGUGUUGAUAUUAUUAUUAAUUUAUAUAAUUUUUAUUAGAUCUCGAUAUGUUUUGUUGAUAGAUUCCCUAAAGAAAAAAAGAGGACACGAUUGUGAAAAAUAAAUAAAUGGGGUCAAACGUGGAAAUAGUGUAUAAAUCCAAACCCGUGGCGUAAAAUAUUCCUGGUGGGUUGAUGUGUCUGAGCCUCUGUGAAGCCACUAAACGAGUCAGGUCUCUUUGGGUAAAGCGAGUCCGUCACCAACGUCUUCGUCUCCAGCGAUUCUUCUUCACGUAUAUAUAAAUCUUUCCGAUUUGUCUUUUUGCUUUUCGUUUUCCGUUUAUAUCAUCGGGAAAUUUCCCCGGAUACUUCUCCGAUUCGUUUUAAAGCCUUUUUCUACAGGAACCUUUUACUCCCCAUCUGUGAUUUUGGGUAGAUUUGGCUCCGUAUGGUUAGGGUUUGAAGGAGGUGAUUGUGGUUUCGCUCGUUGUUUUAUUUCACUGUACGUUAAGAAAAUUGGCUCCAUUUGAUUUUUUCCUAGGGUUUCUUCCUUGAGUUCUACAAAUGUCAGAAGGUUCGAGACGGAGUCGGGUCACUAUUACUCUAGGGCGUAGCGGUCAGGUACGUUUGAGGUUUUUUUUUUGUUCAUCUCAGAGUUUGUGUGUAAGUUAGGUGGAAGGAAUGUGAUAAAACUCCCAUUGAUGUAAUCUGUGAGAGGAAAAGUUUGUAAAGGAGUUUUUGAUAUGGUGCUUUCAUGAUGUUAUCUGGCUUAUGAGAAGGAUUUUGAGAUUUGGAAAUGAAAUGUAGAACUGUUAUAGGGAUGGUUGGUUAUAUGAAUGAUAUAUGCAAAUGUGUUGGUGUAUGAUUAAUGGGUUGAGUCUAGAAAACUGCUUAUUUUGUUGAUAUUUUCUUUUGCAGGUGGUGAAUCGAGCUGCAAGUGAUUUAGAUGCUGGUUAUGAGUUGCCUAGAGUUGGGACCAAGCGGUCUGUCAAAGAAAGAUUAGGAAAUCAGGUAGAUAGUUCUCUGUAUGGAAGCGAAGAAGUGGUCAGUAAAAGGUGCUUACUUUUUCUUCUUAUGUGUACUGCUGCAUAUUGAAUGUCAGGAUCUUCUUUAUUUGUUCUGUUGCUCUUAUUCUUUUGAAAUCUAUGACCUUUUAUUUGUUCACGGGUUUGUGAAUAGUUGAGUAUCCAGAACUCUGGAGGAACUGAUGGGUUAUGCUUUUUGCUUCAGUUUUCAUGUUUUAAAUUUUCUUGCUUGUUGCUGCAAGGCAUUCACUAGAUUAAAGUUUUUGCUCUUUCUUUGUUUAUGCAGGCAAAGAGGGGAAGCAAGUUUCUGUGGAAAUGGUAUAGAUGUGUGAAUUACUGGAUACACACUAGCAUGUUUGCUGAAUUCUGACCCACCCCUCUUUGUUACUAAGAUUUGCAGAUCAGUCAAAAUGAUCUCCGAUUCAAACUGAUGCAGAAAAAUGCCCAGAAACGAGCUCAGAGCGAUGAAGGUAGCACUAUGGAUCUUCGUGAAAAGCUCUCCAGGAGCGAGCAGCCUCCACGUAGCCUUGAUACUCGACCUCGUAUGGCUGAGCUGAGAGAUGUCCCCUUACCUUCAUCAAGAACUGCUCGUGGUUCCUCUCAGAUGAUUUCAUCAAGUAGUUCGUAUCCUCCAUGGUCCCUGGAAGAUUUAAGACGAAGGUCUCCAGAGAGAUUUAUGGAUACUUCCAGGGGUCCAUCCCCGCCAAGAAAUGCUGGACGUACCAUUGGCAUUCCAAGGGGUCCAUCCCCCCCAAGAAAUGCUGGAAGAUUUAUUGGCACUCCAAGGGAUCUAUCACCGCCAAGAAAUACUAGAAGGAUCAUCGCCUCACCAAGGGAUCAUGACAUUUUUAAAAUAAAUUUUACAUAAUUGGCACUCCAAGGGAUAGAUCACCUCCAAGAAAUGCUGGAAGGAUAAUUGGCACUCCAAGGGAUAGAUCACCGCCAAGAAAUGCUGGAAGGAUAAUUGGCACUCCAAGGGAUAGAUCACCGCCAAGAAAUGCUGGAAGGAUAAUUGGCUCUCCAAGGGAUAGAUCACCUCCAAGAAAUUCCGGAAGGAUAAUUGGCACUCCAAGGGAUAGAUCACCUCCAAGAAAUGCUGGAAGGAGAUUUGAGUCUCCAAGGGAUCUAUCACCGCCAAGGAGCACAAGAAGCUUCAGUAGUGGUUCUAGGGCUCUGUCCCCCACUAGAAAUGUAGGAAGCUACAUGGGUUCUUCUCUGGGGUUUUCACCUCCUAGGAAUCCUGGAAGCUACAUGGGUUCUUCCAGGGGUUCUCCACGUAGUAACAUUGAAGAUUUUCAUGGACGAAGCAGGAUGCUUGAUGAUGUGAGAGCGACACCAUAUACUGUUAGAGGUGUACUAAAUGGUCAAGCCCCAGCAAGUGGUGCUCCUUUCGCCAGGCCAAUGUUACCGCCUCCAGUCCCAAACCCACAUCCGUUGCCUCCUUUGAGCCAGCUUCCUCCACUUGGAAGUAUGAUGCAGAACAAUCCCUUCUCUGUAAGAUCUUUUAUCUACUUCUCAAUUUGUGGAUGAAUUUUCUCUCUUCUUGCUCUUUCUAAACUUUGGGUGAGUCCUUCAUAUGUACCUUGUGUCAUUCGUAGGCCAAAAACCUUUGUGGUCAGAUAGUCCAAACUUUUAUGCCUUGUUCUUAUACAUGUUGUAAUAUGUCAUGUAUAUCUGCUUGGUGUUACAUUAGGUGGAAGAGCCUCUGACUGUUGAUAGCUUUUUACAGUCAAUUGGACUUGGAAAAUACUCCCUUGCCUUUAAGAGAGAGGAAGUAAGUGUGCCAUUAUUUUCUUAUCUUAAAGCUUUGCCACAUUAGCUUUUGUAUUAGGUUUACUACUUUUCAUGUUGGCAAUUCGAAGUGCAGCAGAUAUAAUCACACACACAUAUAUAGAUUGUAUGAAAAUAGUAAUGAAUCUACUGAGAUGAUUAACUAGUUGUCUUGGCUCUGUUUCUGUCAAUAACAAACUUGACUGAUAUGAUAACAGGUAGAUAUGACCACAAUAAAGCAGAUGAAAGAAAGUGAUCUAAAAGAUCUCAUCAUACCAAUGGUACUUUCCCUUCGUGUUCCUUAACGGUCUAAAACAAUUGGGAUUGAUCUGUUCUUUUCAGCAAAUUUGCUGAACUUGGUAAAUAUUAUAUUGAUGCAAUGCAGGGUCCAAGGAAGAAGAUUCUUCAGGCUAUAGCCUCCCUUCCAACAAGGUAGCUAUGACAAAAACACGGAUUUGGCCUCUAGCUGCUUCUCACUCUUUUUGUGGUCUUGUUAGCCUCUAAGAGGAUCGAAACUAUGAUAACUUUUUGAGAUCCAACCCCGAAACUUUUCUCUCCGGAUGAUGAUUGUAGGCAGCAGAACUUUCUUUUGUAAUUCUUCUCUGUUAUGGAUUUUUUUUUUCUCUCUUUUUCCUGGCAUACACUAUUAUGUUAACCCAAGCAGCCUAAUUGUGGAAAUGCGAAGGUGUUGUGGUGUAAUCCAAACACUCUUUUGGUUGGUAUAUAAAUCUCAACGUGAAAGUGAUAGGUUAAUAUUUCUCCUCAUUUAUGUUUCCCCUCAAGUCCAACACCCAUUAAUAAUUUUCAGAGUAUUAAACCAUUGAGAGACUUCCCUUCUUCCAGUGGAACAAACACUGAUGAAAAAUAAGUUUGAGAAGGAACUGGAACGAAGUCUAACUUGGUUUGGACUAUACUUGAGAUAUUAGUAGCUGAGUGGUGAAGAUGCGACCUUAAUAAUUUGCUACUAAUAAUAAAAAAAAGAAAACAAAAGAAUAGUGAAAACGACGGCGUAGUAAGAGAAGAAGUAAUGAAGCAAAGUCCCACAUCGGAUAGGUGAGAGUUUGUUAGAGUGAAAGGUGCAUAUAAAAGAAGGGCUUGGUCCUUUGGUUAAAAAUCACGCAGCCAUGUGGUGAGCACAAAGCGAACUAUUCUUUCGCCUUUUACUAAAGAAUACCGUGUGCUCUCCACGCUAAGUGGCAUACGCCUAUUUUUGGAGGGUUCUCACUUUUCAGUGAGUCCCAACAAUGUUUAGUUAAAUUUUUUAAGGUUAUAACUAAUUAAAAUUUAGCUUGAAUCUAGAUUUUGAACUUCGACCAGUAUAAAUCCAGGUCUCUGAAGUUAAGUUAGUCUUUGAAAAUAUACGAGAACGUUAUAAUAAGUUAAUUACACAAAAUUGACAAUGCAACUGCAAAAUUUCAACAAAAUCAUCAACUGGAUUACUGGAAUGUAAGAACGAUGACAUUAAAGAAAAACAAAUAUCUUUAUUUUUUUUUGAAGUAUCAGAUUGUGGUAUUAUUUUUUGCUAAGACAAUAACUAUUAAGAUGUAAUUAGUAUAAGGAUUCACUAAAGGUUUUAGUGAAUGUGGGUUUUAUGACAAUUUGUGGGUCUUAUAAAGUUUGGUCGUUAUUUUUGUUUUUUUAAAAGAUUAGUAAAAAUUAAAACUCCAAAAAAAAUUGUUUGUUUUUUUAAAAAUUAAAGUGACUCAAGCUAUGAAGGAGAAGAUGGAUAGUAUAUUCCUAGUCACUGAUGUUGUUGAUUUGUCAAAUUCUCUGGAUUUUAGUAUAAUCUUUGUUAAGACAACAACUUUCAAUGAAAUUUUGAAACAUGAGAAAUUCAAUGAAAUUUCAAACAAAAGAAAACAAAUGAAUAAUACAAUAUAACAAACAUAUAUGUAUUUUUUUUUUCUUUAGAGAAGAACACUAUUUUUCUUUGCAUCUAAGUCCAUCAAUGUUCAUAGAUAAGCUGUUUUUAAGUAGUAAAGAGUUAAAAACAUUUAGAGAAGUAAAGAGUUAAAAACAUUUAGAGAAAAACUUUAGUGUUUAUGGAAAGAAGUCAAUAAGAGUUUAAGUAGUAGUGGAAAGAAGUCAAGGAAAGGUUAAUUUAAAAGCAUGUAUGCCUCAACAGUACUAACCAAUAGAUCAAGCUCGCACCUGCUGUCUUAUAGAAGAAGUGCCUUCUUCUCCAGAAUCAACGGCACUUGCUUCGUUGCCAACACCUUCACUUCCUCCUUUGCUAAGACCUUCACUUCCUCCAAUGAACAAACAAAAAUGUGUAUAAUUAAUAAUUUAAAAGUGUUCAAAACAUCAAUUAUUAUAUAAGUGAAAAAUUGGUACAACCUACGUUAUUUUGGAUAACCAUUUGCUCUCUUCACAUAUUAGAGUUUCUAAAGGUAGUGUAAAAUAAAUAAAAAUGUAAUCUAUGUUAAUGACAUGUUCAUGAAUUAGCAAUGUAAUUAUCUAAUAUUUAAUUUAUUUUAGAGAUGAGAUCAACAUUUGCUGACUAUUGACCACACAGAAAAUAAUUUACUUAAAUAGUCUUGAUUACAUAGAUUUUAAUUAAACCAUAGGUCUUGGAAAAUAAAUAAAUUAAUAACAUAAAAUGAUUUAUAAAUAUGUAAACAGUGGUCCUUGAAAUGGGCUGAUAUAAACGAGUCAGAUCUACUCGUUAGAAAAAAAAUGAUUUCUACAAAAAAAUCAAAGCAUAAUGUAGUUAGAAUUUAGAAAAAGUAAGAGAGCAUGAUUAUGAAUUAAGAUUUCUUUAUUUUUCAUACUAGCGACAAAUCUUUUUACAGAAGCUUAUUACCAAUCUCACAAAAAAAAAAAAAAAAAAAAAGAAUGUUGGGCCAAAAGGGUUAGACCUAGCCUAGUUUUAGUGGGCUUUUAUAUUUUUCAUCUGAUCUGAGACUUUUCUCAAUGUCUCCUUUCUGAAGUCUGGUUUAGGGUAAAACCUCAUUUCGUUGCCAUUGCUCUGUUUCUGUAAUCUGUAGUGGUAGAGCUUUGUAAGAGUGCUUGAAGAUGAGCUUAGUUCUUAGAUUCAGACAACAUUUAUCUCAAACCUCCUCCAGAUUAUCACUUCUGUCUCGAAUCGGCGGUUACCGGAGUUAUGCCCAAGCGGCGAAGAUUGAAGAUGAUGAAGAAGAAGAAUUCGAUCAGAGGAAGCUCCCAACAGAUUACGAUCCCGCCACUUUUGAUCCAACGGAGCACCGUAGUCCACCAACGGAGCGUGUGUUCAGACUCGUAGACGAGAUCUCAUCUCUGACGUUAUCAGAAAUCUCAGAGCUCGGUGCGAUUAUAAUGAAGAAGAAAGGUAUGACGGAGCUACCGACCGUCGCCGUUUUGAAACCUGGGGCUGGUGGGAUCGUGGCUGGAUCGGGUCAGGGACAAAGCGGUGGUGGUGGUGCGAGUGAGGAAGCUAAAGUGGAGAAGACAGUGUUUGAGAUAAAGUUGGAGUCUUUUGAUUCAUCUGCUAAGAUUAAGAUUAUAAAGGAGGUGAGGAGUUUUACUGAUUUGGGUUUGAAAGAAGCUAAAGCAUUGGUGGAGAAGACUCCUGCGAUUUUGAAAGCUGGCUUGUCUAAAGAAGAAGGUGAGAAGAUCGUUGAGAAGUUGAAAGCACUUGGUGCUAAAGUUGUUUUGGAGUGAUGAUGUUUCUCGAAGGUCUGUUGUUACUUUUUAAAGCUUCGAUUUUUCUUCUUUUGUUCCAUCUAUGAUGAGCUCAAGAUAAUACACAAGCUGAUUAAUUGGGUUUUGUAAGGUCGUCAUAGGUUACACUUGCUCCUUCUUUCUCACUGCUAAAUUGGUUUUGAUGAGAGAUGAAUCUUUGCUAGUUCAAGAUGUAUCGCAAAAUAAUAGAAAGUGUAGACUUUGUGUUAGUGUGUUAUGAUCUAUCCCAUGGCUUUGAUCUUGACUCAGAAUUCUUACCUUGUUCAUUUUUCUAAUCAAAGUUUGUAGCUUUGGCUCCUUGCAAUCACUUUUGUUGAUACCAGGAUCUUUGAGUAAGAAUUGUUCAGCGUAGAUUCAAACAAAUGACUACGGUUUAAUCAUAGAUUAUGUUAGAAAGAUGAGAUUAUUAGCAGAGGGAAUCCACAUUUAGUAGCAUUACAUUAAGGUAGAAACGAAUUGUUCAUGCGGCCCACAUAUGCAUGGGUGCAAAGAUUUGGAUGAACUUUUGAGAAGUUGUUUAGGUGAUAAGCAACAAACCUGAAUCUUGCUUCAUUUGAUCAUUUCCAUCUGUAUGUAAAGGGCAAAGUUUAGUUCCUGUUCACAAAUGACAUCCACAGGGAGAAAAUGCUAAGUUGUGAUCAUAAAAGGUGUGUAGUCAAGUUUGCUUGAGCAUGCGUCCCCAACUUGAUCACCCACUUUACUUCAAUCGGAUCUAUAAUGAUGCAUGGGUUGUGAUGCUGAGAUAUGUUAAAACAUAUGCUCUAGAAUGUAUAGUGUAAACAAUGGAAGUGAAACUGAGCUUGCAACUGAGAACCUUCUGAAUGCAUCAGAGGCUUCUCUGUAUCAUAGAAACGACACCGUUUGAACUAAACAUAGACUACCUUCUUCUUCAGUUCUUCCCCUCCAUUCUGAGUUUCCGACAUUGAACCAGUGAGUUCUUCUCAAAACUCAUCGAUUUCACUCGAUUCCGAAGUCAAACACAAACUCAGUUGUUUGCAUAUGUUGUCUAUUUUGAUCUGGUUUGAGAACUUCCAUCGAUGCUACCUUUGUUCAUACUGCUCUUAGGCUCAUUAUCGAAUUUCAAAUGGAUGGCUUGUAAAAUGAGUGUUCACGUUGGAAUAUUUGAUGUUUCUUAACAAAGCAAUCUUGUGUUCUUGACUUCAUUAGAGUGUUACUGAUUCGAUUUUUAUAUUUUUUUCUGGAGAUUAGACAAGUAGUGUAGUAGAACAGAUGCAGUUUAGACCUCAUUUUAGGGUUUGCAAUCCAAAAUUGGGGAUUUAUGAUGUUUAUGUUUCGGAUUAUCUUUACAGAAUUGGUUGAAGUGAGAUCUUUAUGCAGUUUUUUUUUCCCUAUGCUGUGAAGUUGAUUUGAUGUACUCCAUAUAAUAUAAUGUAAUUGGGUUUCAAGUUUCAGUUCUGAAAAUGGAUUCUACUUAUGUAGUCUUGGAAGCUUACAGACUAAUUUCCAACAUUUUGUUUGAAUACUCAAAUUGUAUCUGUCACAUUUUUGUGUAGCUGUUCUAGUUUCCAGAGUAAUUCAUCAUCAAUUUUGCUGAACUUGCAUACCCAUUAACUGUUUGACUUCUAUGUUUCGCUGUGAAGUAUAUUUCCAUUGUUUAUCACCGAUGUCUUGUUUCGUUCUGACUUUUGGACACAGGUUUUAAACAUGCUGAGAGAGGAGAGUCCGAAAGUCACUCGCAGAAGCACCAGGUCGUCAUCUUCUGUAACUGUUGAGAAACCAGAACCUAAUGAAACCCACCUACCAACCGUUGAUGAUCUCACGUUUGGGGAAGAAUCAAUCUCGUUGGAUGCUGUUCUAUCAAACUUUCCGGGCAGACGCUCUCAGAUUUUCGACCUUAUUCGUCUUAUGGGUCCGUUGGAUUGCCCUGCCCUUCCAGUAAUGAUCUAUGGAGGUGCUUCUACUGGAAAAACCAGUGUUGUUCUUCAUGUGCUUAGGCAUCUUAAUCGCCCCUUUGUUUAUUCAAGCUGUCGUACAUGUUACAAUCCCCGUAUCUUGUUUGAGUCGAUUCUAAAUCAGUUGUUGCUGCAUAGGAAGUGUUCUCUAAAUGGGUAUUCUAGUGCAAAACGAUGUGACAAGCCAUCUGAUUUUGUCAACUUGCUUCGCGAUGCCCUUAGUAAUGUGAUAGAGUCUCUUGAGUCUGGUUCCGGAACCUCAAGACCAAAUAAGUCGGAAGGAAACCCAUGGGGAAGAUGGUAUACCUAAUACUUGAUAAUGUGGAUCUUAUCAGAGACUGGGACAAAGGCUCUAUGAUUCUGCAGUUUCUUUUCAGUUUGUAUACUGUUUUGAAGAUGCCUCAACUUAGUAUAAUACUUAUCAGCGGACUGCCACCAGAUGUGUAUUACUCAAACAUGGGAUACACAGACCCUCUGUCUCUUUAUUUUCCUGAGUAUUCUGAAGAGGAUCUUCGUCAAAUUUUCUUGCGAAAUCAAGCUAACCGGAGAUUGUACUCUGCGUUCCUCGAGUAAUAGUACAACCUUGCCUCCCUACUAGCUUUCUCUAUCCUUUACUCAUAUUGUUUACUGAUGUAGUUUUUGGUGUGAAACAGCGUUGUGUUGAAACCAUUCUGUAGGGUCACCAGGAGCGUGGAGGAGCUUUGUACUACCUUCGCAUCAUUGUUCAGAAAGUAUUGUGAACCACUCGAUGAUCUAGGAAUUUCACCCAAUGAAGAUAUGAAGAGAAGGCUCUAUAGCAAUCUUAAACCGCUUAUUGCUCCCUGUUUAAAUGAGAUAUUUAGGGUCUCGAGUCACCCUCGUGAUGGUGACACCAGAGGCGAGAGAAGGCAGAAAGCCAGCUGCAGUUCUGAAAACCGUGAAGAACUUGAAAUAUUGGACUUCCAUAUGUCUACCUCAGCAAAGUAUCUUCUUAUUGCAGCAUUUCUCGCUUCGAGAAACCCAGCAACACUAGACGCAUCGAUGUUUGACUCCACAGGGGGCAUGGAUAAUCGUAAAAGAAAGCGGAAGUAAGUUGUCAAAAACAGUGUCAUUAUUUCUCCUUUGACAUAUAGCUUGAUAGAAAAAUGAUCUGAUUCACUGAGUUUAAUAGCAAGUCUAUUAAAAGCAUGUGAUGGUAUGAUGGUGUGUCUUCCGGUGUUGCAUUUGAAUUAAAAAUCUGAUAUUUUUUUACAAUGGUUCCUCUUCAGGGCCUCUGAGAAGUCGAUGGAAAAAAAGGAAAUUGCAGAGCAGGAAGCUGUCAUGAAAGGGCCUGGAAGCUUUCCACUGGAAAGACUAUUGGCGAUAUUCCAGUGUAUUGCCUCCGUGGGAAAUUCUUCAUUUGGCGAAGAGGAAGAAGAAGAAGACGAAGACCCAACGGGCUACGACAAAGAAAAUAACAACCUGAUGUCUGAUAUUCUGCUGCAAGUGUCAAGUCUUUGUGAUGCAAACUUUUUGAUCAAAAGCGGAAGCUGCCCUUUAGAAGGUUCUGUUAGGUACCGCUCUAUGGUCUCUGAAGAUCUGGCUCUUAAGGUAACACUUUAUUUGCAAUUGUUGAGUCAUAUAGCAGAGGGUAAUACAAAAACAAUGCUGAUGCACCAAUUUUUUUUGUGUUUUCCUCUAAUAUGGUUUACAGGCUGCGAGAAGCCUCAACUUUCCAUUAUCCAAGUACUUGUACAGAAGAUAGUGAUAUAUGGGAUUCAUAAACUUAGGGAGGACGAGUCUAACGGUAUAAUCUCUAUUGAGCUCUUGUAUUGUAGGAUUUAGUAUAAUUUUUAGAUGUCCGGGAAACUUCAUAGGAUUGAGAAGCAAUUUUUUUUCAGUUAACUGUGUGGUCUGUAAAUGUAUGUGAAUGAUGUUUUAUUUUUGUAUGUAACCAUUUUUACCAUAGUUUUUACGGCGAUUGAGUUGGGAAUCCAUCUUGGUUUGCUUUUUUUUUUUUUUGUAAUCUCCAUCUUGGUUUGCUAAAUUCUGAUGAUAUGAGACCAGUCUUGAAUCUGGUUUAGUUAGGCUGUUUUCAUUUCUUAUGAAGCAUGAGGAUGAGAUUAAACUUCUCUAUUCAGCUCCCAUCUUUGUGUCGACUUAAGAGUUUCUGUUACUAUUUAGUUUACGUUUGGAACUAUAUAUGAUUACAUCUAUCGUUAAACCUGUCACAUAUGUAUCUAUCACCCAACAAGAUAGUUUCCACACUGAGUAAACUUGGUUUCUAGUAAAGAUAUUGAAAAGCCCUGGUUAUCUCCUCUGUUUCAAUAUCUUUUUGUCUGAUAAUGAAAUCUACGCUAGUUGUUGUUUCCCGAAGAAGAAGACACAAGGAAAAUAACAUAUCCUCAGUUCCUCACAGUAACGUUAUACCCUAUUCCUGUUCUUCUCUUGGUCUUGUAACACUUUUACAAGAACAGAACGAAGAUGGCUCACUACUAGCAGUUGAUAAAGAUUAUCUCAACAAAAAAAAUUGAUCACGGAUCAUUCAUCAUUCGAGGUUGAAGCAACUUUUGCAGCAUACUUGACUAAGACACCGGUUAAGAGAGCCUUCUCCUUCACCUUUAACCUGUGAAUCAUAAUUACAGAAAUCAAUCAGUUUAUGUAGAGAUUCUACAUUGGCAAACAUUGUUUUAGUAAACUACAAUGCAUUGUUUACCUCUUUGAAGAUCCAGGGAUUUCUAUCUUUGCGCCCUUUUUAGCUUGCCCUUUCACAAGAAUCUUUUUCUUCUUCUUCUCCUUCUUCUUCCCUUCAACUCUAGCGGGUUUUGCUUCUGGUUUGUCAAAGCCAGUUCCUCCACCCAAAAGUUUUUCUUUACCGAGAAGCUUCUGCUCCAGCAUGCGAAUUCUAUCUACUCGAUUUUCUUCUGAGGAUGACAUUAAACUGUUCACAGGUUCCAGAUCCUCUUCAGCAACGUCUUCUUCGUCAGCCCUUUCGAGUUCAUCAUCCGAGUAUGUUUCUGCUACAGCUUCCUCAUAUUGUUCAUCAUCCAAGCGUGUUCCUGCUACAGCUUCCUCGGAUUUAAUUGCCUGGAAUGAAACUAAACGUGUUUCUAAUUCGUCCUGUUCCUUACUCUCUUGCUCCACAACUUGCUUCUGUGACUUUAACUCGGUUUUCGAAUCACGUCUCAGUUCUACGGGAGAUUCUACGCUACCAGAGAUAUGAUUUGGUUCAUCUUCUUCAACUUCCAAUUCAUCUCCAUCUGAAUCAUCAGAUUCUUCCAAUGAAUCCACGAAAGCCUCCUCUUCUUCAACAACGUCAUCUGCAUCAGAAACUGCUUCUAAACCAGAAUACGGAAGUUUCUGUACCUUGAAGCCGUUAUCAAAGUAUACUUCCUUUGACACUGAUUCAUCUGAAGAAAACUCCACAACCUGACAUUUGAUUUGCUUUAUAACCUUUCCAAAUGCUAAGCUCUGUCCAUUGAACUGUUUCACAAACCUAAGAGAAAAAAACCCAAACUUUGCCUCAGUACCAAAGACAGAAAUGCUAAUUUACAAACAUCACAAGUUUCUCGUACCUAUUUGCAUCAAUCUCACUUUUGAAAUCAACAUGAGCAAAUCCCUUACAAACAGGAUCCUUAGUCUUCUUAUUCCCUAACACAGCUGGUGUAAUGCUCAAAACGCCACUUACUUCUUUAAACGCAACCUUAAGAUCUCUGUGAACAUUCUUCUUCUUAGGAAGAUUAGUCACACGAACACGAAACCCAAUUUGAGUCUCUCCAGGUCCUUUUCAAUAUAACAAACACCUAAAUGAGCUUCCCAACUACAACUAAAUCGAAUUCAAAAAUAGUGAGAAAAGAAAAGUUGAAACCUUUGAUGAGCUUAUCGUCACGCUUAAGCUGCUGUGACUUGAGAGGAUCGUUCUUAAGCUUAUUGAGAUUAGCAGCUUGAGCUUUCCAACUCUGCUCAAUUUCGUCGAGCAGCUUAUCUUCAAUCGAAGUUUCGUACUUUUUACCUAACCCAAAUCCACGAGGCCUUCUCUCUAACCAUUUCUUCAUCUUAUCCACUGGCAAAAACUCUCCUUCAUCUUCAUCUUCUUCUCCUUCACCUUCUUCAUCGAAUUCACCCCAAUCCCCAUCUUCAUCCUCAUCUUCAUCCUCAUCCUCCUCAUCAUCUUCCGACACCAUACGACCGGAAUCGCCACUUCGUCGCUUGUUUACGGCGAAUAAACGAAACCCAUUACUCCUUUUGACAACGACUGCUCUAAAACUCUGUCGAGUUCUAUGAGAAAUUGAGAUAAACGUAGACGUUGUAAAUGAAGAAGACGAAGAAGCGAAGCAACACGGUGACUUUAAACGAGAAAGAGAAUGAGAAUGGAGCAAAACGGAAUUGCAGAGUGAAGCUCCGUUCAUGUUUUUGUGUUUUUCGUUAUCUUCUUCUUCUUCUUGGUCUCUCGGCGGAGGAAACUGUUCAAUCCGCAAAACAAAGCGUCAAGCGACUUCAAGAAAAAGGCCACUAAUGGGCCUUAUUGGGCCUCAAUAAAAACACCCAUUAAUUUGGAAUGCGAUCCAUUAAGGCUCAAUCAUAAUAACUUGAUGUAACACAAUUGCUAUGUUUGCUUGCUUACAAUUAGCAUGGCUGACCAUGGAAUCAUAUAAAAUCAUUGAAAGAUGUAUGAAUAUAACUGAGACAACACCUUUCAAAGGCCCCCAUGUUUUCAUGAACUUCAAGGUAUGAAGUAUUUGUUCGUUAUCUCACUUUUUUUUAUUUUGUUGCUAAUGCUGAUUUGAUUAGCUAUGACAAAUCAAAGGACCCAGCUCUGAUACAUGGAUGGAAGUUGUGAGAAUUUCUCAUGAAUAAAAAAUAAAAGACAGAACAAAAGCUGAAGAUAAUAAGAAUUUUAAAAAGUAAAAUUAAAGUUUUUUAUAAAAAAAAAAAACAGAGCAGAAAAUACAAAAAAUGCUAGGCUGGGUGUAGACCCAUUGGAGGGAUGGGGGAGGGGAUUAAGCUUUGUAUAUAUUUACAUGUCUAUUUUGUAAAUUGGACCAUUCUUGAUUUGAAGUCAUUAGAGAUCUAUCUCUCAAUGGGACCAAUUCUUCAUACAUGUUGGUCCGUUACACAUGUUUCUGUUUUUGUUUACGUAUCUUAUACUUUAAGAAGACAUACGAUUAUAUAUGUUGUGUAUUAUAUGUACAUGACUACGUACCUCCAUAAAAAUACAUGCAUAUUGCUUAUUGCACCCAUCUAAUUUCGACUUUCAUAUAUAUAAAUGUGUUCGUCUUAGGAUUUGGUUUCAAAUACCAUGCACCAACCAAAAAUUUAAUCAACCUAUUACUUGAGUAGUAUUAAGGAGAUAUACUAUAACAUAUCUCAAUGAAAUAAAUGCAACAUAUCAGAAGAACUAUAAAUGUUAUAAUAUAGUCAAACAUGCGUCGAGACUUUUUCAUUUAAGAGGCUCCCUAUCAUUGUUACUUUAGUCUUCAUGAAUAUUAAUGUUAGGUUGAGUUGAGUUGGCCUACACUAUAUAUGGAGUUAUAAAGUCAGUCAAUUUAGUCAAUAGAAAAUAUAUUUUUUCUGGUUGCUAUUUCUAUCAUCUUUAUGAAGUUUAGUAGUAGUAAAACUUUAUAACUUUUAAGGAUGUAAACGUGUUUAUAAUAAUGUCACUUAUAUACAUACUAUAUAGAUUGAAAGUUGAAAACCACGAUGCAUAUGAUCUAUAACUUAGAAAAAGAAUUGUAGAGUUUUUGAUUAAAGAAUAGACUCAGUCUAUCAAGCCGCCAUAGUAGUUAAUUUAGUCUCGCAUAAAGAUAGUAGAGUUCUAUUUAAGAUUAGACCAAACUAAAAGAGCUUAGUGGGUAGUUAGAUAAGCAGCAACUUAGGCAAUAUGAACAAAUAACAAUGAUAAUAGCUAUACGAAGCUUUUGAAUGUACUGUGUACAUAUUAUCAUAUAUAUAAAAACACUAUUACAUUCGCAAAUAUGUGUGUAUAUUAUCAAAAAGGUGUGUUUAUAUUAUUUGAUAUGCUUUUUUAAGCUUUGAAGAAAAGAAAAAAACACGAUUGAUCUUCAUUACCGAAAUUAAUCCACUUUGAUUAGGUUGAAAAUCGCAGAAGAGAUUCAUAUGACUUAGAUAAAGUAAAAGAAUAUUAAUGUACUCUAGUCAAUUUUAACCUAAAGUAUUUGAAGUGAUAUUCUCUGAAAUCUGUAUAUAUUACUUUCAAUAUAAUACGAAAUCCGUUUCAGUUAUUAUGUUUUCACUCUCCUACGUAAUAAUAUGCACGUCGUAUUAUUAUUAUUAUCAUUUUGGUGAUAUCUGAUGCAUGUCCCAUUAUUAUGUGUUUAAGUACGGAUUGUUUUCGUACCAUUUUACAUUUUUUUAUAUAUACAUUUUAUUUAUUUGUUUCGGUAUAAACAAUAUGGCGUGGUAAUGUGAUCAUUAAGAAAUACAUGAAGUCAUGAACCAUCAAAAACUAUUUCCUUAAACUCUAAAAGCAAAUUAAUUUUAUAUAAUACAAGGAUAAAACUGAAUUUUUUUAAUAUUUACGUAUAUAUGUAUAGAAUAUUAAAUUCAAUACUAAAAGUGAUUUCUAUUAGAAUCAUCGUUACAUUAUUAUUUGGGUUGAUAAUCCGCAUGUUAUCAAAAAUAUAUGUUUUAUCUCAUAUUACAAAACAUUAUUAUAAAAAGACUAAACUAUCUAUCUUUCUUAGAGAAAUGAUGACAUGGGACUAAAUUUGAUCGGAGCCUAUACUCCACUAAACUCUAGAAAGAUAUAGAGAGGUUAUUUAAACAAAAGGAAGAAGAAGAUGAAAAAAGAGGAUCGAGACUAAUAGAAAUAUAUGUAACAAUGGACAAAAUAUAUAUAUAAUCGUGUGGUAUAGCGAGUCAUAAUCGGCCAACGCCGACCAAAGUCCAAAAAGACAAAAGAUGAAAAAAAGUGUCCAUUUGAACAUCUCGUGUGUGCAAAUCUCGAUGGCAACUAGUACCAGAUUUGCUAAUGGUGUUUUAUUAGUUUUUAAGAUUCUUGUUUUUGGGAUUUAGUUCGAAUGGUACGCAAACUGAAGUAUAGAUUAUAGAGCUAUUUAGAAGAUGUGACAGUAAAAAAAAACCAUACCUUUUUAUAUUGGAAGCUAUUUUUGUUAUGGCUAUAUAUACUAUCUUCAAAUUAAUGGCAUGCAAAAAUAACAUAUUUUUUAGAGAUCAACAAGAUUGUAACUUAUAAUUAUCGCAUUUUGUAAAUAGUUUUUUUUUACAACUAAGUAAAGUCUAGCUUUUGCAGUAUAGAUAUAUAUUUUUAUUAUACUGAAGACUUCAACCUUAAGAAACAAAAUAAAAUUUACUUCAACUAUAAGAACAAAGUGGACAUCAAAAUAGAAAAUCUUGUAGUUACUGUAUAUACAGUGAUUGUGAAAAAUAUCACUAUACAUCACUCACUCAUCUUGCUAGUGGUUGUAUCUGGAUAUGGUAAGAAAUUGAAAAAAACUAUGUAAUAAAUCGGAGUCUUGGAACUCAAAAAGUUAUCUACCAAUGAUCAAAGAUAGGCGUCAAUACUCAAUAUCAUUGCAUUGAAAUUGGUCUCUUCAAUGAUCUGAGUUCACCUAUUUCCCAAUGUUUGAUUAUUCAUUUUCAUGAUCUUCUCUAACAGGUGUGAAUUUAAGAAAUAUUCCUCAAGAUUAAUUAAAUGUAGCAACAGCAAACAGAAAAAAAAAAAUUCAAACAUAUAUAUACAUACAGUUGAAAAUGACUCAAACCACUUGUUAACUAUUCAUUACAUUUCUAGUAAAAAUCAACAUGGGCUCAUGAUCAUCAACUCAUCAUUGUACAUAACAUAAACAUAUACACAUUGCUUUGAUUACAUAUGUCAAUAAGGUCCGAGUUGACUAUGCUACAGGAGAAAGAAAAAAAACAUUUCUUAACGAGUAUCAAAUCAAUGUGACGAUGAUAUAUAUAGUAUAAGAUCAUGUCUAGUGAUAUCAUGUACGUACUUUAGAUCUGAAAACAAACCAUUCAACAACGACCUUUGACUACAUGAGGGCAAAUAGCUAGCUUCCCCCCAAUGAAUCGUAUUGCAUGAUUUGCUUCGAGAAAAUAUACAAAGACAUUAACAAAAACGACGAACCCUACCACGAGAAUGUAGUGUCAGUCUCUGAUAAAUUUGUUGUAGGUUGGGAGGUGCAUAUUUUCCCUCCUUUUAGAAUUUGAUUUUCUUGGCUUCAUUAAUGUGUUAAUAAAUAAAUAAACAGAUCGAUACUGCAUGACAGAAAAAAAAAUGUACAUAUGUAAUAUAACUGUGAAAAUGUGGAUGCAAAUCUGAAUGUAUAUAUGCCAUAUGUCUACCUGAACAGAUAUAUGAAUUAGUAGACCAAUGAGCCAUAAGAUAUAAAUAAUGAAUAAUGUUUCGGCCAAGGAAAAGUUUCUUAUUUGUUCUAAGUUUACUUCAGUGCGAUCAUAUCACAGCAGAAUUUAAUAGUAAUUUUUAUACUUAAUGGAUUAUUGAUUUGAAGAACAUUAUAUACAAAAUAAGUCAUGGUAGUACACACUAUCAUUUGUACGUUUCUACUAAAUAUCUCGAGAUGAAUUAUAAUGAUCACUACGUUAAACCGAGAUAUUAUCCUGAUUAAAGUCUAUAAUCUAAAUCGAAAGAGCAAAAAAAAGAAACAUAGAAAUCACGUGUAUAAGAAAGUAACUAAGGGAGUGAUUAGAAACGAACGGGCCAAUGAUUUAACACUUUUAUGGCAUAAUUCAACCAUUACGGGAGAUAUUAUGGACAUAUUGAUACAAAAAGGAAUGUGAAGAAAAAUCUCAUAUGUUCUACGAAAAGGACUUCCACUACUCUUUUCUUUCUUUCCCAUACGCUCCACACCACUGUUUCUCUUAAUCUAAUUCAACCAAUCUGUGACUCAAACUCCUAAUUUUAGAAUUUAGAGAUAUAUGAUGAUUAGGUAACCUCUCUCUUUAACCUUUCUUGCUGGAGAUUUUACCCUUCUUCCCCUGCAUUUGAUAUUUUAAAAAUGACACUGUAUGGUUAACUAAAGAAAUUAGUACUAUGAUUAUCGCAUGUAAAUGCAAAAGUUCAUUUUAUAUAAAGUAAAAUUAAUUUGACUAGAAAAACAUCACUAAAAAUGAUAAAUAAUAAUGUAAAUACAAAACAAUUAAUUUUCAAAACUUCAAAUUGCCUCAAAUGGGAGCAACAUAAAAUAUUAGUCUCACAAUUCGCAAAGCAAAACAAAAUUAUCACAUUCAAGAAAUAAUAAAAUUUUAAUUUUUUUUUCAAUGUAAAUGUUUUGAAUGAAACACUCGAAAUAAUUAAAAAAAAAUUUUGAUUAACCCAUUCGAUAAUUUUUUUUAAAUCGCUAACCAAAAUUGUUUUUCAAAUCUUAAUUAAUACGUAAAAUGUUUCUCCUCAACCGACCAAAAACAAAUGAUCCAACUAAGAGAACCACGGUUUUAAUAACCCAGGCCCAUUAAGCUAAUCACAAAAAUUAACACAUUCCACGUCACCAUUUUGUUUACUUCAGAAAGAAAAAAAUACGGCCUUCUUCUCUUCUCUCUAUCUUCACGAGUAAUGUGCAAACAAAAACGUACAAUUUCAGCUGCACUCUGUAAUGUAUUUGUACUCACACUCAUGCAACGUCUUAACCUGCCACGUAUUACGUAACCUUUAUACCAAUGCUUCUUUCUAACCUACGCAACUCUGCUUUAGCGCACGUUAGUCACAACCAAUGAAACAACUCUAAAAAAACCCAACGAACGAAACGAACCACCAUUCCCCGUCGAACAGUCCCGUUUCCCCGGGGCAUAACGGAAACGGUAACCGUCUCUCUGUUUCAUUUCCAACAACACCCAUUUUUUUAAUUUUUAAUUAUUUAUUAAUAAAAUAAAAAACUCAAAGCUUGCCGAUGUUUAUUUAUACAUCCAAACAAAUGAAUAUGUUAAAAACCCCUUCUUCUUCUUCACAGUUCACACUCUCUUCUCUCCACCACAACUCAAAAUAUUCAAAUUUCUCAUCUCUCUUCUUCUAGAUCUCAUCCAUUUUUUUUCCCUUUCUCCGGUUUGUUUUUGUUUUCGGUUAUGGAGAGAUCAGAAUGAGGAGCCGCCGCCGUCUCGACGACUGUAUACUCAUGGAUUUGUUCUGCGGAGAAGAUUCCGGCGUGUUUUCCGGCGAAUCGACGGUUGAUUUCUCGUCUUCCGAGUUUGUUGAUUCGUGGACGGAUAAUGAAUCGAUCGCUUGUUUCAUCGAAGACGAGCGUCACUUUGUUCCUGGUCAUGAUUAUCUCUCUAGAUUCCUAUCUCGAUCUCUCGAUGCUUCCGCUAGAGAAGACUCCGUCGCUUGGAUUCUCAAGGCGAGCUUGCUAUUUCACUUUUUUUUUUUCCUUCUCUGUUUCAAAAUGAAUUUUUAUUAUCCUUAACGCGAAUAACGACUGCCUAGAAUACGCCGAUCGAGUCGUUUACAUGCAAAGUCCAACUAUGUGCUAAAAUAAGCCCUCAGAGUGGUUUAUUUGACUGUGGGUUUUGUUUGGUUACAGGUACAAGCGUAUUAUAAGUUUCAGCCUUUGACGGCGUACCUCGCCGUUAACUAUAUGGACCGGUUUUUAUACGCUCGUCGCUUACCGGUAAGUUUUUUCUUCUAAAACGUCAACGUUAAGUUAAUAUGCUCUGUUCUUUAUUCAUAUUGAUAUGACAAAUAACACAACUAAAAAAACAAAUAUUAUUUCACUUUUUUUUUUCUACGGUUCGAUUUUUUUUAUUGACUUUUCUUCAGAAAAAAAUGAAAACGACUUGGAGAUUUAUAAAAUUUUACUUGGGGAUAAAAUGUUAUUAGAACACUAAUUAAACGUGAUUAAUUUAAUAUAUUUGGAAUGUACGUAAAAGUGAUAAAACAGGAGCGGGGUGUUUUUUUUUUUUUUGUAUUUUAUGAUAUUUAACAUUUGACGUUUAGAUAAUAAUAGUAUACUUUUUGCAGUAAAACUUUCCACUUCAUAUACCGGCUUUAUUAAAAACUUUAUAAUCAUAGUGUUAACACGCUCUCCUCUACUAUUAUAGUACUAUUUUUUGAGUUAAUUAAUCUUGUAAUUUAAUGUAAUCAAAAUGAUUAUAGUACUCAGCUUUUGUUAUCUGUAAAAAUAGGAAACAAGUGGUUGGCCAAUGCAACUUUUAGCAGUGGCAUGCUUGUCUUUAGCUGCUAAGAUGGAGGAAAUUCUCGUUCCUUCUCUUUUUGAUUUUCAGGUAUAUCUUCAAUAAUCUGAAGUAUGCUCUGUUUUUUAAAGAUCUCUUUUGAUUCAUGUGUAUGUGUCUUAAAUGUAGGUUGCAGGAGUGAAGUAUCUAUUUGAAGCCAAAACGAUAAAGAGAAUGGAACUUCUUGUUCUGAGUGUCUUAGAUUGGAGACUAAGAUCCGUUACACCGUUUGAUUUCCUCAGCUUCUUUGCUUACAAGAUCGAUCCUUUGGGAACCUUUCUCGGGUUCUUUAUUUCACAUGCCACUGAGAUUAUACUCUCCAACAUAAAAGGUACGUGACGUAAUGUAAUGUUGUAUGGUACGUAAUGUAUGUCAUAUUGGGUUUGGUUCUAACAAACGGAAAUGUUAGUACAGAAGCUAGCUUUCUUGAGUACUGGCCAUCGAGCAUAGCCGCAGCUGCGAUUCUAUGUGUAGCCAACGAACUCCCUUCUCUAUCCUCUGUUGUAAAUCCCCACAAGAGCCCUGAGACUUGGUGUGAUGGAUUGAGCAAAGUAGGAAACUGUUAUCAUCACAUGAUUUGGAUGGAAUAGGGGAGAGAGAGUAUCAUAAGUUCCUAAUGUGUUUUUUUAAUUUUGGACUUUGUAGGAGAAGAUAGUGAGAUGCUAUAGGCUGAUGAAAGCGAUGGCGAUAGAGAAUAACCGGUUAAAUACACCAAAAGUGAUAGCAAAGCUCCGAGUGAGUGUAAGGGCAUCGUCGACGUUAACAAGGCCAAGUACUGAUGAAUCCUCUUUCUCAUCAUCAUCUUCUUCUUCUCCUUGUAAAAGGAGAAAGCUAAGUGGCUAUUCUUGGGUAGGUGAUGAAAAAUCAACCUCUAAUUAAAUUGUGGGGAUCAGUGAGAGAGAGUAGAGAGGACCAAAGAAACAAAACUCUUAUGUUUUCAAGUAGAGUAUAUUUUUUUACAAAAACAAGUACAUAAUCAUAAUAAAAGGGAGUGAUGAAGUAGUAAAAAAAAGUGUUUAUUGGGGUGAGUAGAAGUAAUUAAGAGUGUUUCCAUCCAAGGGGAAGGGAAUAAGAGUUUUUGGUUACAACUUUUAUGGAAAGGGUAAAUUGGGAUUUGGGGGUUGUGUUGGUUGGGUUUGGUUGAUUGGGUGGGAGAGACAAAGCUCAUCAUUAAUGGCUUUGCAGAUUCCCAAGAAAAGCAAAUGAGUGUAGACCACACGUGUAAGAGAAGAGAAUGAUCAUGUGAGUGGUGUAGUGUGCGUGUGAGAGAGAGGUACUAGCAUGCAUUAGAGAGUGAGUCCUAAUGAAACAGGUACACUGAUGGAUAAGACAGGGAGGAGCGUUUGAGAAAGAAGAUGUUUUUGAGUGGAGAGAGCUCUUUGUCUUAAUGGAUCGCAGCAGUUUAUGGACCCCCUCACCUUCACCUUCAGCUUCUCAUCAUCAAUUACAAAAACAAAUUCAAGUUGCUGCCAGUAUAUAUAUAUAUCUAUAUGUUUCUUUUUUGGAUCUUUUUAAGAUUUUUGAUUCCUUUGUGUGUGUGUGCGACUUCACGUGCCGGGAGGCGUGUGUCUCGUCUCACUCACGUGUUUGUUCUGUUUUUUUUUUUCUUUCUCUUCAAAUCUUUUAUUUUUGGCAGGAAAUUUUGUGGGUUUUUUUUUCAAUUAUAUACGUAUUCGUGUGGACUCAAAAUGAGUUUUGUCACGGUACGUUUUUUCGUAACGUAUGCAUGCGUGUAAGGGUGUCACGUGUGUGUAUAUAUAUAUUUAUGAUUUUUUAUUUGUUUUGCUUCAUAUAAUUGUGUUUAAAUAAAAGAAUGAAGAAAGAAAAAAAGUACAUGGAACUAUAUAAAUAAUGAUCUUUGUCAAUAGACGUGUGAGGAUAAUACAAGAGUGGAGAGAAUUUGACAAUGGAGUGGCCUGUGGGAGCACAAAGCAUGUGAACAUGUAAGUCGUCGUAGAUCGAGUAUAUGUUUUUAUUGAACGACGAACGUAUAAAAACAAAAACAUAUUUUUUUUUAUAUAGUAUAUAUAUAAAAUUGCCUAGACUAUCUGAUUUUUACAGCAGUGGAAAACAAAAGAAGUAAAAAACAAUGGUUAAAAUGUGUUCGUUGGUUUUUAGUAAAAGAGGAGGAGGAGGAUGAGAGAACAAUUAAUAGGAGCAGUAGAAUACAUGUGAGGUUGAUCUGUCUUCAUGUCAGAGAUAAGUGGUCUCACCACACCACGAUCGAUAAAACCAUAACGUAGCUACACCGUUCUAUCUCUCGAACCCCUCAAAGAACAGCCCCUCACAAAAUUACCAUAUCUUUGACUAUCCCAUAUAUAUGUGUAUGCACACGAUUCUAACGAGUAUAGAGCAAGAGUUGAAAGAUGAAAAAAAAUAAAACAUUAACUAAGUUAGUUUGUUUGAUUUUUUGCCGACAGAUGUGAACCCCACGUCGAGACAAUGUCUCCAUCUACCUAAUUCUAAAUUAAUUAGUUUAAUAAGCAGUGUAGUACUUUUUAUAUAAUACGACUUAUCUAUUUUUCCAUCAACGACAUUAUUUGAUCGUUCUUUCUCCAAUGAACUAAUCACGCGUCUCAUAUAUGCUUUACACUAAUCUUUUUCUUACUCACUUACCACUACAAAAAAAGAGUAUAUUGUAUCACUUAAAUUGUAUCAUAAAGUUAAGUGAUGUUAUUUUAAAUUGCUUAUUCAUAAAUGAAGCAAAUAUACAUGACUAAGCAUCAAUUGUAUUAACUGAUGUUAUAAUUAAUUAAUUUGACAUCAAUUAAAUAAAAUUGAUUCAAUUUCUAUUAGUUUGUAUCACUUUUAUAUGAUUGAUAAAAAAAAAAAAAAAUUACAUCAUUUAGAUAAUUGAUGUAUCUAUUAAUUGUUGGUAAAAUCACUUUUAAAAUGAUCCAAAAUUAACAUCAAUUAAAAAAAUGAUGUAAAAGUAUAUUUUAUUAAUUACACUACUUAAUAUAUACAUUUAAAAAAAACAGAAGGUAACGUAAAGUAAAACUGUAGAAUUUUGUGUCACUUUUUUUUUUUAUGAUGCUAAAUUCUUUAGAAUUUUACAUCAGUUUCUUUUACAUGAUGUUAAAUUCUUUAUGUUCUUUUUUCUCUUUUUAUUUUUGUAACCACCCUUCCUGAUUAUAUAUUUUUUGGAAACAGAAUAUCUUUUUUUUUUUUUUUUUUUUUGAACACCGGAAACAGAAUAUCUAUUUUUCAUAUUUCCCACUAAGUAAAUCAAAUACAAAUCUGUAGAAAAUCCUAACACUUCUUCUCAUAUCUUAACUUUGGAACGAUUAGAUGAGGAACAUACACAAAGAGAUUGAAGACGAAAAUCAAAAGACGCUCAGAUGCACAUGAUAGCUUUUUCUUUGUAAAGGUAAAUGAUCUCUAUUAAUUUUUUUUUUGGAAGAGGGUUGGUUCUUCUGUCUCUUAUAUAAUUUAUUGACUCUAAAAUAUCUGGUUUUGUUUUAGGAUCAGUUUCCAGAUCCGUUCUGCAAGACCGUCACACAUAAAUUUAAUAUGAACCACAUACACACGCUACAUUGAAUCUCAUGGAUGGAGAUUGAAGUAAGGUGAAGAUUGCUUGGAUUACUUGUUCAGGAAAGGAUUCUUCAAGUUACAAGAAGAGUUUUUCAAUCUUCUGGGUUCCAUAGUUAAUUUGUUUAGAUAUGAAAUCACUUUGUAUAUAGGUUUGAGAUUUAGGUUUACAGUUUUAAGCAAUGUAUUCGUUUUUUCUUCAAUGGAAUUUAAGUUUUUGUUUUUUCUAAUUUCAUUUUAUACAAUAUUAUUUUUAUUUAUUGUUACUGAUUAUCGGAAGUGAUACAAUUAUUAUAAAUGUUUAUAAUAAUUAACACUAAUUUUAACAUCAGAUAUUUGUAAUGAUAUAAAUAUUUAACAUCAAUUUUUGUAAAUGACACGAUAAUUAGAAUCACUUAAUUCAAUUGACACUAAUAUUUACAUCAAUUAUUUAACUGAUAUAAAUAUUUAACAUCAGUUAUAUUAAUUGAUGUAAAACUAACAUCAAUUAUAACAACCAAUGCAAAUAUUAUCUAUAAUUACAUCAGUUGUUAGAGAAAUGAUAGGAAUUAUUUGCAUCGACCGUUUUAAAAUCAUUUACUGAAGUGAUGUAAAAAUUUUUGGCAUCAGUUAUAAGUAAUACAAAAAAUAAAAAUAAAUGAUGCAAAAUGCUCAUUUUUUUGUAGUGUACUUAUCCAUAGGAUGUUACAAACGUAUCUUCUGACGACGCUCCUCUUCUGUUUUUUUAUAUAUAUAGCAUUACUCUAGUUUACAUCACUUUCCCCCAUAUUUCAAGUUUUCAACCAUACACUCAUCUUAACAUAAUUAUAAUAUUUCAAAACAUGCACUGUUACCAGAUUUUUUGAAACUGUUCCACUCAAAACGUACGUAAGGAACUGUGUUACACUCUACUUUUUUUACUCCCGUACUAGAGUCCAUCAGUAACUUUUUUCCUUUUCACAAAAAAGUUGGUAUGAUUUGUAAAAUUCACGACACAUGAAUUAUGAAUAUAAAUGGUAUGUUGUAAGAGCAUUGAUAUGACAUGACAACCCUCAGGGUGAAUCAACCAGAUGGACUUAUAAAUAAAUAAAAAUACGUACAAGAUAACUAUUACAUGAAUAUUAAGAAAGAAUAGAAGCUUCACCCACUACUGUUUAAUCUAAAACAUGAUGAAGCAAAAGUUUAAGAGAGACUAUGUAUGGAUUGGUUAGGUGAUUAGCAACUGCUAAUUAUAAAUAAAUAAUUAGUAGCCCACGCAUUUGGACAUAUUAAUCAUCGGGAUUACCUCCAUCAUUCUUUAUUUUAACUUUUUGUUUGUUUUUUAAUCAUCCUCUUUCGGGUUUUGAUUAGGACACACUGGGACACCAAAAGGGACCGAACCUUAUAUUAUCCAGCGUAUAAAGACAUUCAUCUUUUAAUUACUAUCUUAAUUCAUUAUUUGUCCUGUUAUAGUUUUAGUUUAGUACACGCGUCCGUCAUUAAUUGCAUAAAUAUCUAAACUCCCUUUUUCUUAUAUGUACACUUCACAAUGACUUAAUUAACCAAACACAUUAAUGUACAAUUUUCUUAUAGAUAAUGGAUAAUGACAUCUGAUGGGAAUGGUAUAGAGACAAAAACAAAAUGAAAUUAUAUGACAGAAUUUGCAUUCAUUAUAGUUUAUAGAAAAUGGACAGAUUUAUCAGUAAUAAAUUACACAUGUAGGUGAGUGUGAGUAUCUGUGUUUAAUUAUAGGCGCACGUAGAUCAUGUUAGAUGUGAGUUGGAAUAAAAUCAGAAAGACUUUGCUUUCUCAACUAGUGUUUAAAGUGAAGGAUCCUAGGAGUAGAUUUUUCAAAAUGAUACGCAUAUAUAUACAGUAUAUAUAUAUAUAUAUAACCAACCAUAUCCUAUUUCAGCAAUCAUAUUUCAUAUAUACCUAUUUCGAUAAUGUCUUCAUUAUACAUCUUUCUAAUUCACUACUCAGCUUAAGUAUACUACAUACAUACUCUUUGAGUACGUAAUGGGCUUUAAGCACAUACAAAAGCAUGUUUUAACAUCUUAUUCUCAAAAGCGAAACAAAAGAAAGAAAUAAGAGGGAAUAUAUGCUGCCUAGCUAGAACAUGUAGAAACAAAGUUUGCACAUGGAUUCUUUCUUUUUUGCCUUUAGUCUUUAGAGAAGAAGAAGAUACACUUAUAUAUUCAUUAAAAUAAUCAAACUUUGGAUGCUUGAAAAGUAGUAGAAAGAAAUAUAUAUAAAGUGACGAGACGAUAUUUUUAAAGAAGGAAUCAUUAAAAAAUAUAUAUAUAUAGAGAGAAGAAGAAGAAUACACAAUGGUGGCAUGGCCCGACCCCGUAGGGCGUGAGAGAGUCUUGAGUGAACUUAGUUUCUCGAGGGAGCGUCUCUCAUUUGUUGCCUACUUUAGAAAAAAAUUUCGUGGGUUUUGCUUUUUGUUGUUUAUGGUCACAAACCAAGAUUUAGUCACUGUUGAGCACUUUCAUUUCUUCUAGUGGACAACGACGUCUCCUCAUUACCAAAGUCCUUUGUUUCAUCAUCAAACACUCUUCACCUAAUCCAACCUAUUCAUGUUGUUACAAGGACACUCUCGCACACACACGUUAUGCUACAAUUGCUCGGACUAGCUUAGCUAGGAUAUCAUCUAAACGCAGUUAGAAUAUAGUUUUUGAUUCGUUUCGAUUAAUGUAAAAAGGAGUGUAUAGGGAACCUAAAAGGAGGAUGAACGUGAGAGAAAAGAAAUGAGCAUAACAAAAGAAAAGCAAAUAGCAUUGAGCACAGUGACUGAAAGCAAUAAAGUAAGAUUGUAAGUUAUUUUUUUUCAGACUGAAAUUUUUUUACAGAGAUUUCAGCAAAGAGAUGAGAAAGUAUAAAGUUGAAAGCGAAAGGCAUUUUUUUUUUCUUUCAUGGGGGCGAAAGCAAAAGCGAAUUAGAGAGGCGAAAGCUGGUUUUAGCUAAAGAAAGACAAAAAGGAAUGUAACACUCUUUUAGAUUUGACGUUAAAGAAGCUUGCCAAUGUGACUAUUGUAGGAGCCAUAUCACAACAAUACAUUGUAUCCAUUUCAUAACUAAAUUAUUCAAUUCCUCUAUCCACCAUGCUUAAUAAGACUCGAUAAGGCAUUGUUGUGAUUGGGCUAGGAUUUGGCAACGGGCUAAAGAACAAUGUGGAAGAUUCAACGUACUAUCCUAAGGUCUUAACUAGUUCAAGCCAUCCCAGUUCCAAUAUAUCCUUUAGUUUCAAGAUGAGUUAAACAAUAGAAAAUGUGAAUGUUGACCUUUUAAUCAGUGAAUAUGUCACUAAUCAUGUUUUGGUUCAGAUUUGAUAUACAGAGGAAAACUCUGACAAUCUCUGUGUUCUUGUCAACACCACAAUUCAAUCUCUGCAAUACAAAAAUCUCUAAUCUUCUUAUCCUGAAGCGAAUUUACACAUGGUAUCAGGUCUAGGUACACUUCUCGGGGACAGUAGUGACUUACUUUUCUACUGUGUGUUCAUUAAACAACUCCUUCAAUGGCCUUAUGUGUCACUGAGUUGCAACUUCUUUCUCUCCUGCUUCAGCUGUGACACAAAACUGUAUUAAUAUCACGUGAGAACGCAAAUAUUACAAUUUAUUACUUGGUAUCGACACUUACCACGGUCUUUACUCGAUCAUUGGCAGCACGGGUUCCUCCAUCGACACAAUCAGGAUAAUAAGGGCUUCGAAUAAACACUUCUCCCAUUACGAGAAUGUCUUUGUUUACCCACCUUGUAGGAAGCCUGGAGAAUGCAGCAUCACAUAACAUUCAAUCAAAAAGAGUUCAUGUAGCAAAAUCAAUAGAAUGAUUAUCAGCAGAAGCAUACAAUCAGUUGUCACAACCAGUUCUUAACUGCUAAACGAAGAAAGCUACACAACAUAAGUAGCCACAUUUAAUAUAAGCAAACUCACCGAACGGUAGCAAAAAUUACCUGCUUACUUUCUAUGACAAUUCUACUCCAUUAUCACAUUUUGUUAUUUCAGAAGUGCCAUGACUAGUAAAACACUAGUAUAUACUUGUGAUUUGAUAGCUAACAACAACUGAAGCAAGGCUAAAGAUAAAGUCGACCAUAGAACAAAUAUAGAGUCCAAACAAGCUUGCAUCUUCUAGAAACCACAAGCAAUAAAAACACAAUGCCAUGACCAGAAUGAAAACUCUAGUAAACAUCUGGGCUUUGAUGCUGAUUUAAAGGCAUUCAGCAGCAACAACCGAAGCAAGGCUAAAGACACAAUCGACCAUAGAGCAAAUAUAUAGUCCCAAAGAGCUUGCAUCUCUUGACUCCAGAUUCAGAAACUAAAGAAUUCACAGCUGCUUAAAUAAGCAAGCAUCUGACCUCGUUGCAACCAGAAACAAUGCACAAAACAGUAGAGCAGUGAAACUGUAACCAAUCCAGGCUAAACCAAGAACUUCUUCACACAAGAACUAGCCUAAUCCAUGACAAGGUUCGAUUGUACAACAUAAGUAUCAUUAUCAACUCAAUACAAAGGACCAAAAAGACCCAUACGUCUUAGAAAUCGCGUCAAAGAUCUUCUGCGCCUCUGCUGUAACACCAAAACCAAUUUUCUCGAUGUCCCUGCAAAAUACAUCAAUCAAAUUCAGAGAAAAAUUCGCAACAAUCAUAGCGAUUACACAACAAAAUUGCAGCAAUUGUCACCUAAUGACAUUAACUUCUUUCUGUUCGAGUUCAUCAAGACUAGUCGAAGGCCUUUUAGCGAGCGGAUCCUUAACUCUCCCCAGACUCGUCAGCUCGGUUAUGAAAUUCGCAUUCACCAUCCGUAAGGUCUUCGAAUCCAGAGGUUUAGGCUUCGUUCCUUCUUGUAAAUCACUAAUCUGUCAAGGAAACCGCAAAAUCCAAGUGCGAAAACAAACAAAAGAUGAUGAAAUCAAUAAGAAAGAACUAGCAGAGAUGAGAAACUACGAGAUACGAGUACUGAUUUCGAAAAAAGGAUAUCGAACAUGACGAUGUUGGGAUUAGAAUCAUAUCCCAAGACGAUUCCAUUGAACACGUCUCCGGUGGUCAACUUGACAGUGUAUACAUUCCCCAACGCGAAUUUCUUGCCUUCUCCUCCUCCAUCGCCUUGUUUAGCCACCGUACCACUUGCUGGUUUCAUGGCGGCGAACAAACUCUCCGGUGGUUUCUAAAUCGCGGGUUUUAAAAAGUGACGGUUGAAAAAUAUCUUCGGCUUCACGCCAAAAUGGGAGAAUAACAAACUAUAACCGUAAAUGGGCUUCUGCACUCAACUAUAUAGGCCCAUAUAAAACUACCACCCUGGAUCGUUACUAUUACCAGGCCUAAUAAAUCGAAUAGCCCAAUUAGAAUUUGGUUUAAGAGCGAUUGUUACAUGUACUUCACUGAAUUAUUCAACCUAAAGUUAAUUAUAGACCAGUUUACUAUUGAGUUUUAUAAACUUUGCAUAUUAUUUUUCCUACAAAAAAAAAUGAAAUUUUCUACUAUCUUUUGAUAAUAAUAAAAAUUAAGUUAGUUAAUAAGAUGUUUAAGCUAAAUAUUAUAGGAAGAGGAAUAAGAUGGAAGUGGUCCAUGUGACAUGAAUUAAACAAAUCAUUGUUAUAUUUGUCAAAAAGGGAAAUGGGAAGCUGGUGAACUACUACAUCACCAUUAUCUCCUCCUCUGUCACUACUUUUUUCUAAAAAAAUUCAAAUUCUCUCAAUGUCAGUCUUGAAUGUUGGUUCUAAAUCUUCACUAGAUUUUAUUGAAAUUAAAAAAUAUUAAAUUUCAAUUAAUUAUUUAAAGUUAUCUAACAACAACUUCUUGGUUGUGUAAAAGUCACAUAAUAAUGCAUACAAAAAAAUUUCUUUCUUUACCAGUCACAUAAAAAGGGUGUAAACUUUGUAAAAUCGGUUCUAUAUUGGCUUGUAAAAAUUAGUUAUUUUCCAAAAAACAUCAACAUUAGACAAAUAUGUUUGAAAUCGAUGUGAAAAAAAAAAAUAUAAAUCAAACCCUAUCUUUGGGUAUUUAUGAUGAGUUUAUUCAAGUAGUGAACAUCUAUACAAUGGAUUUAUUUUACAAUCUUAAAGACACGAUAAAACAAAAAAAAAAAAAAAGGAUGAGAUUAGUAGAAAAGAUGACUGCUUUGGCUAACAACAAUUAUAAAUGGUCGGGAAAGAGAGGAGGGCACAUGGAAGAAAGGAAUAUGGACCGAAGUUAACGGGGGAUGAAGACAACAAGUCGAACCACUCAUUGCAAACUUAUUAACACAUCUUUCAUAUACCAUCACAUGUUAUUUGAGUCCAUCUUCCACAUGGGUUUUUCACAUUAUAAUGCUUUUGCUUCCACCCCUAUAUAAUAAUAUUUACUGUAUUAAAAUGUAGCGGACACUUGUUAUCUUACAAACUCUUGGUUUAAAAGUUAGAGUUAAUAAUUGUUUCUUUCCACAUUUACCCAAUAUUUUAGAAAACAACACACCUUUGCCAAGUUACUUUAAGAAAAUAAUUUAAUAUUGCUCUGUCUCUCAGAAUUUUCACCGUCAAGUAAAAAUGAUUGAAAAUCAUUACACGUUAGUGGGUAAAAUCAUCUCUGCGUUGACUAGGUGCCACCAAAUCGUUGAAACCGUACAAAUGUUUCCACUUCUUUUUAACAAAUUGUGUCAAGUCUCAUACUUUACUAAUUUUCAUCUAUCAGUGAUUUUUUUCUUUUGCUUUCUUUUGAUAAUAUCGUUGUUAUGUAUUUAUUCAGCAUAAGUUAUAAAUAAUUACGAAUGCUUUAAUUUUCUUUUUGGUAAUAUAAUUACGAAUGAUUUAGACUUCAAAUAAAUUCCUUAACAAAAAAAAUCAAUAAAAUUCCUUAGAAACAAUUGAAUCUUUGAUCUACAUUGUACUUACUUACGUGUCGACACCUUAUUCUAGGAUUAGUUAAGAGUUAAAACCUAAUAAAAUCUUUUUUUUUUUCAUCGUGGCACGUUGUCAUGUUGACUUGGACAAUUCCUAAUUUUCCAGUGCACACACUGACAAAUUGACAAUUAUACCCUGACAAGCGCAAAGAACAAAGAUCAGAACUGAGGCACCGCAUCAAGGGCUAUUUCGUCAUUUCCAGGGUAUAAAAGCCAUCAGAGUCUGGCCAUUUUCACACUGGCCACUCACUGAUCAAAGGCAGCAACUUGCCUCCUCCACCACAAGCCACCACAAACUUAUAACAAUUUCAAUAUAUAUAUCUAAUAACAUCAAAGGUUCAUUAUAACAAACCAUAUCAAUUCAUUACCUAUUGCAAAAAUUAAACAACAAUAACUCAGAAUUAAGUGGAGUCUUGUGUCAAAAACAAAAACUAAAUUUUGGCAUAUAUUCAUAUGCGGUAGACUAGUAUUUUAGAAUUUGUUUAGGCAAUAAAGUAAAGAAAAGAACCUAUUUUACAACUGUAUGAAUAAUACAAUAUCAUGUGGAAAAUAUUGAAAAUUAAGCAUAACAACAACAGCAUUGACAUGGAUAGAUUAAUAAUUAAAAAGAUUUGAAUAAAAUAUUUACAUCCCACUGGUCCAAAACCAUCGAACCACUCGUCCUUUCGUCUCGUCUCUUCCCACAUAAAACAAGAACAACCACCAAAAAAACGAUGUGACAUAUACUUAUAAACAAACAAGACCACCAUUAUCAAUAAUCAAAAGAAAGAAGAAGAAGCAUAAAGGUUUUGUUUCUAUGAUCCUGAAAUGGGAUUGAAAGAGCAACAAAAUUGUCUGAGUCAUAGGAAGAUUAUAGUUUUCUUAGUCUUAGCUUUUAUACCAUUAGCUCUGUUUCGACUCUGUUUUAAUAAUCCUUUCUCCUCCUCCAUUGAUGACACCUCUCUCCAAGACUCUUCAGCUCACGUUGUGAUCACCAGCUUCUCUUCUUCUUCUUCUCAAGGUAACAUCGAACUUAUCCAAUAUUGUUUGUGUGUAUGCAAACACAAUGGUUUUUAAACUUUAGAACUGUUGUCUAAAUCUGCAGAAGAAGAAACUCAAGAGAGCUUUGAUCGUGUAAAGGACGAACCUUUAUGCGAUUAUACGCAAGGGAAAUGGGUCAGGGACGAGACUGGUCCACUCUACAAUGGUUCAACCUGUGGAACAAUCAAGGAUGGUCAGAACUGUUUCCGCCAUGGUAGACCUGAUUCCGGUUAUCUUUAUUGGAAAUGGAAACCGAACCAAUGCGAUAUACCAAGAUUCGACGCUAACCGGUUUCUUGAUCUUAUGAGAGACAAGCAUCUAGCUUUCAUCGGCGACUCCAUGGCUAGAAACCAGCUUGAGUCUCUUAUGUGCUUGCUCUCUACCGUCUCUAGCCCUGAUCUUGUGUAUAGAAAUGGAGAAGACAAUAAAUUCAGAAGAUGGCGUUUCGAAUCUCACAACGUCACGGUCUCGGUUUACUGGUCCCCGUUUUUGGUGGCCGGUUUAGAGAAAUCGGGAAGCUUGGACCACAAUGUAUUGCACCUAGACCGCGUGGAUGAGAGAUGGGGCAAUGAUUUAGAACGUAUUGAUACGGUCGUUGUCUCAGUAGGGCAUUGGUUUCUGCAUCCGGCGGUUUAUUACGAGUCUGGCUCUGUUUUGGGAUGCCAUUCUUGUGAAACAAGCAACUGUACCGAGAUAGGGUUUUACGAUGUGUUUAGAAAAGCGAUUAGAACAACGUUGAAGGCGGUUGCCGGAAGUCGUCGUGAGGUAAUCUUGACGACGUUUUCGCCGUCACAUUUCGAAGGCCGGCCUUGGGACAGCCUUGGUGCUUGUAACAUGACAGAGCCGUACGAAGAGAAGGCUCUAGAAGGUUUGGACUUGGAUAUGCGGCAAAUAGAGAUGGAGGAGUUUACGGCAGCCAAAGCAGCGGCGUCUGAAGUGAGGUUAGAGGCGUUAGACGUGACGGCAAUGUCGGUGUUGAGACCAGACGGACAUCCUGGUCCGUACAUGUACCCGUUCCCGUUCAAGAACGGUGUACCGGAGAGAGUUCAUAAUGAUUGUCUCCACUGGUGUCUCCCCGGACCAGUCGACACGUGGAACGAGAUUAUGAUCGAGGUGUUGCGGCGAUGGAGGGUUUAAAUCAUGAACCAUGAUUGUGGAAGUGAUCCUAUGACAUCAUCAUUCAUUUACAACGCAUAUGACAAAAGGUGUAAUCAUUUUUUUCGGGAUUUCAUAAAGUAUAGCUAGGUAUAGUUUCUUUUCUUGAAUUUUAGAUACGAUCGAAACAUAAACACACAUGGAUCAUACUUUCCUUUUUGUUGCUUAUUUCUUCCGUUCUUCAGAAACGAUAGAGGAGUACAAAGUUCCAUAGUUCCAUGUCAUGUAACUUUUAUUUUUUGGAUUGGAAUCUUUCAAUUAUUAUGCCUUAAACUGUCUAUGUACAAUAGCCACGACUCACGAGCAUGCCUCUUCUAUUAUAUUAGGGCGUAGAUAGCUGUCACUAUGAUCAUGCGUAUAGAUCAUUGAUUAGAAUUCCAGUUGUAUAUAUGAUGGACCGGUCUAGGAACAAAAAAAUUGUAGUGUUGACUAAUGAUGCCAUCGCCAAGAACAUUGUUAAGAAAGAAUAUAGUAUUUGACCUAUAUUACAUUAUUACUUGCUGUAUUGGUUCGCGACUUGACUAACUUAUAAGAUGAGGCCUUUGUGGAAAGCAAAGCAAGUGGCAACUGGCCAAAAAGGGAUGGGCACAAUGAAUUAAAAGAACAUUUUGUAAUGUUCUCUGUAUCCAAUUUUGCAGGCAUUUCUUGGGUUUUGUAUUUGUGCAGUGCAGCGCAUUUUUUUUUGUCUAAGAGUAAGACCCAGAGAUGUGUUAUUAUCAAUUUUUGUCUUUUAUUUACAGCAUAUGUUUUUUUUUUUUUGUCUUGCAGUAGAAAAUAGUUUGUCUUUUUAAAGAAGAAGAGAAUCUUCAUUGUAUCAAGCGUGAAGGACUGAAGGGGUUUAAUUUUUUUUUAUUAAGCAAAGACAAAGGACCUUUAGGUUUUAACUUUUUACCCAGCUGUUUUAUUCUUUUUGCUCCUUCCUCUUUCGAGUAUCUCUUCGUCUUUGCCUUUUUCUCCACUAAAUUAUGUUUGGAACUUAUGUUGUUCCAAAAACGUUGCUGCUAAAUAAGUCGUACUAAUUAAUAUAUCAAAUCAAAAUCGUUUCCAAGGUAGUUUUGGUUUGAAUGAUGACAAUGGACCAAAGAGAUUGAUCUAUUUUUGCAACUAAAAAAUUUCGGAUUUAACAUAUCUUCUUUUUGUUGCCCGUCGUAAUAUGGACCAAAGUGAUAUAAUUCGACUAUAAUGAUUUCCCAAAGGACAGAUUUUGUGAGUGAGGUUUGUGAGUUUGUCCAUCCUAAAAAGUUAUAUAUCAUUGCACACUCGUAUGGGCUUUACCACAAUAAUAUUGCACAUAUUCGUAUGGGCUUUAAGUACUACAACAGCUUCGUAUUAGGCUGAUCACUUGUGUCCAAUUUGCAGCCAGAACUCAUCUAAAUAUCAAUUUGUCUCCUUCUAUGGCCUCAUAUGACACACUAGUGUAACUAGCCCAUUUAUAGGCAUGGCAUGUAGUAGAAUCAUAUCUCUCCUCCACAUCGAGAUUGAUAGGAACCAGAAAGAGUUUGAUACUUUGAUUCGUAGAGUCUUUCGUAAAGUUUAAACUGUUUUGUUUUUCCACUCACAUUUAUAAUCUAUGUAUAAAAAAAAUUGUACCAGUACUAUGUAGCCAUCAAGAAAAAUUGUUAGGAUCUAAUUAUUUAUACAUCGAAAGUAAGAUAAAUAAUCGGAUCGUUACCGAUUGAUUAUAAAUGAAAAACUUAUGAAGCUUAAAGUACUGUAUAUGUAUAAGUUUUCUUAUCGAGAAUAUAUAGUAAUCAACUAAUCAUAUGAGUUUUCUUUUGCGCAAUAUGUAAUUUCAGUAAUGGAUUUUUACAAUAGAAUUAAAGCUUGAAUACAACAGUUGAUCACUGAUGCGAAGAUUAUUCAUUACAUAGAAACACAAAAAAGAGCUCUAGAGAUAUUCAAAGACAUGUAUAUACAUUGGGGUAGGUUUUGCUAUUCGGACCAAAAAGCCUACUUCAGCAAUCCUCCCAUUGACACAGACCACUUAACACAUGCACACUCAUCACACGCGCGCAUUUCUUCUUAUUCACGCCACCAAAAGAGGAAAGGGGCCAAAAAUAUAUGAACCCUCGUUUCUUCUUAAAAAAAAUAUAUAAUACAAAAUUCACACAGGACUAUCAUCCUGAUUAGUAAGCAAUGGAACUUUGUUUUCAUCUUCUUCGUGAUGAUGAAUCGUUUUGAUGGAUUUUGUUUCUCGGUUUGGAUUUUGUUUUUCUUCGGUUUCCUUCAACUGUCCCCAAGACACUGUGUAGUAUCCCACACCACCUAUGGCUGCUCCUAACACACUGCACCCAUGCACCAACAAAUACUUAAUAUAUACUCAUGCAUAUGCAUGCUAAUUAAAUAAUUAGUAUUUAGGAUGAUUAAUGAAUAUUUCAACGUACCUGCCGUAGUGAAGGCUGUUUACGAAGAAGCUGGUGCCAAAAAGUGUAGCCCAAAAGAUACCAAAGGGUUUGAAUAAUGGCACGUAAUAAGGUCCUUUCAUUUGGGUGCACUUUACGUGUACACUUGUUCGUAUUACACUUCCGAAUGUUCCCUGAGUUAGUCACCAAUAUUAGACACGUUAGUUACGAUAGAGAAUUUGUGUAUUUCAUCCUUAUAUCGCUACUUGGAUAGUUGGAUUCAAACCUUGUAUAGAAUGCAUGUUAUUGAAAAAGAGAAAAUAUAUAUAUAUAUAUAUAUAUAGUCAAUUACCGUGGCGAUAAUGAGGUAGAGGUCGAAGUUAGGCUGGAUCUUCCAUGCACUUAGGUCUCUUUCCAUAAAUAACGAGAAUAUUAGACACUGGAUCGUCCCUACUAUGCUGUAAAAUGAAGCCACUUUCAUUACAUGUGGAUACUUUUUUACCGUCCCUGUCUGCAUGCCAAGGACAAGAAAAAAUUUACCUCAAAACUAAUUAUAAUGCAUAAGCAUAACGAUGGUUUCAGUAAUGGAUAGUUUAGUACCUGAACAACAUUGAAGAGGGAGAUAGAAAAAACAGCGGCGGCCAAAAAGAUACAGCCGAGAAACCAAUUGUCGGGGAGGUUGUAGUAGACCAUAAGUUUGGGGAUUGAUUUGAGAAAGCGAGUUGGGGAAGCAGUCGAAGCUGGUCUUAUGAAGGGACCUUUGUACAACUCUUCAACAAAAGCUCCACUUAAUGAGAUUAUUGCUCCCAUCACUUUAGCCCUCGUACUCGUGUUUCUCCAAUCCAACUUGCUCUUUCUAUAAAUGCAUAUAUGGUUAUUGUUGACGUACAUAUCACUAAUAUGGAGAUUUAUAAAUGGUGAUGAGAUGUGGCUUACCCGAGAAGAAUAGAGAGCAGGAAGGAGAAUGUAGGGAUUUGCAACCCCAUAGCACAUACGACUAUAGGUGAGCUGAAGCUUAGUCCCACAAAUGCCAAGUUUUGGAACAUAAAUACCCUUCACAUAUUUAAAACGUUGCAAUAUAAUUAAUCAGUGCAUAUGUGCUUGCAUGAAUAACAUUUUAAGUACGUUCAGAAUGCAUGCAAAUGCGUGUGUGCUCGCAAGUGACCAAACAUACGGCACACAAGUUUUUAAAAUUCUAUUUUAAUAACAAAAAUAAAACAUGGUGUGUGGUAUAUGCCGCUCACAAAGAAACGUCACGAUGUGGAAAACAAGAGAACAUAUUAUAGCCUAGUUGUUUCUUUUAAAACCUAGUAAACGGCACGCAGUUUUGUUUCUUUUCGAUAGAUGACGUUGCAAAUCCAUGUCAUAGAAUAUUCAUCAAACAAAUUAGUGGUUGGCACAGGACGUAUAGAUUUUUCGAAACAUGGACCACACCUAAGUUAUUGUUAUUGCAAAAUACAAUAUUCGUGAGAAAGAAUCUGGUCUGAGUCCUAAAAUCUAUACGAUAGAUUUCUAAAGAAAACAUGAACUUAUUAUAAAGAGAGAUGAAUGAUGCACCCACCCGGUGAAGCCUAGAAAGAAAACACGAACGAGAAGUGGCCAAGAGAAGAUAGAUUGUUCAGUUCUGCAAGUGUUAUCAUAAACAACAAAUCAGACAACAAACAAGACGAUUGAUUAGUGAGGAGUAACUAUAAGUAUAUAUGGAACGUGAACUGACCUAUCAUUCCGGUGAAAGAAGAAAGAAAAAGGCAGAAGAAGAAUAGAUCCAAAAGCAUUUGUGUAAACAACGAACACAAAAGGACUCAUCCCUCCCGUCAACGCUGUUUUUGCCAUAAUCGUUAGAGCAAUAGUGCAUGCUUCCAUUAUCGCCAUUGCCACAAACGGCACGAACUCAUCCCUUCUAACUUUCAACUCCAUCUCUCUCCCUCUAGGCUUUCAAAUAAAAACGGCACGAUGUCUCCUAGCUCCAAGUAUAUAGGAAAAUAAAGAUUAGAUAGAGAGAGAGAGAGAGAGAGAGAGAGAGAGAGAGAGAGAGAGAGAGAGAGAGAGAGAGAGAGAGAGAGAGAGAGAGAGAGAGAGAGAGAGAGAGAGAGAGAGAGAGAGGGAGCUAGAGAGAUCCUCAAAUGCUAUUGGAGAUACGAAAUUAUUGGUUUAAUUCCUCUAAUCAUAUAUAGGACAGGGAAGAAUUAUCAUACAUUUAUUUUUAUUUAUCAUUAUCUAUUUUUCAGAUAUAACCUUUCACGAAGCGGUGAAGCUACUUUACAAACGUGAUGUAGCUACACGAGUGACUCCACCAUUGCACUAAGGGCGAGAUGCUAACGUCAUAUAUAACUUCUUUUUUUUUUUUACUUAUCAGAAUGUGUUCAACUUCAAACAUAAAUCCAAAUAGUGUGAUGCUGUUUAUAGUUCAUUUCCUUUUAUAUUUUUUAUGUACUUACGUCGUAUUUUUCGUCUUAUAAGUGAUUUCACGCAUAUAAAUUAUAAGUUAGAAUGCAUGAUUUGGUACGUGGGUUCUCCUGAUACAUCGUCAGACUUAAUUAAUUAUGAUCGUACGCCAACUAAAUCAGCGAUCAAAUGGAGACCAUACGUUAUUUACUUUAGGUUUCAACCUAAACUUUUGUUAGAUAUAAACAAUUUUCUAUAGAAUUUAUAAAUGGAUAUGUUGUUGGCGUUACAAAAAGCAAUAAAUUGCAAGAACCAAAAUUUUUAUACAAACUUAUCAGAGUUCACUGUUAUACUUAAUUGGUCUUAGAAAAAAUAUUUUUACGAGGACAAUGUCAUGAAGGUGAGUAACUCUGCAGCAAAUUUGAAGCUUUGUUCCUUGCGUCUUCCUGCGAAAAUCUCGCAAGUCUCUAUGCUCACCACGGUCGGAUUUAGACACUUUCCAGGCCACCAUUGCCAGCUACACAACUCAAUGACUCAAGCAGCUCAAGUUGGAGUGAAAAAUCCAACUUCUCUCAAGAAUACACUUGCCUUCAUGUUUUAGGGGUGUCUACUUCAUUUUAAAGUUUUCUCAACCACUUCUACUCUCUUAAAUUUCUCAUUGAUAUUUUCAAAAACAGAACUCUCAACUAAUUAAUUUUAGUACCCUUGUAAAAACAACUUUUUCUACAAAAACAAUGAAACCACCUUUAAGUCCUAAAAGAAUGUAUACUCACUUUCGAAAAAAAAACUCUCAACUAAUUAAUAACCUUGUAAAAUCAACUUUUUUAUUAAUAAUGAAACUAACCUUUAACUCCGAUUUACGCCGCCAUAGACGUGGUAUAACACUAAACACAAGGCUUAAAUAAACCAAUAUUAUAAUGUUUUCAUAUAUUCUAAUGAUAGUAGUUACACUUACACAAUGGAUUACAUUGUAACGACGACCCUAAUUAAAACUGUGAAUACGAAUCGUGGGAGACUAGCUUAACUUCUACUAAACAACCAAUUUUACAAUUACAAUUGGCGAGCACAGAUUUUUUCUUCAAAAGACUACCAUUGAACGUGAAGUAAUAUUUUAACCGCAAAAAACCAAAAAGAAACGACAAGGCAUUUUUGCUGACAUAUGCAACGUAAAAUCCUAUAAUUGCGAUCUGCAUAUUAAUUUAUACAAUGGCCCAAGAGAUUUGUCUACUCUUGGCUGAGGUUGAUCAAGGACCCACGUCAAGAAAAUAUAAAGAUGUAUGGGGUCCAAAAUGGAGUAAUGAUAAAAUAGAUGACUUGAUGAUAUUUUGGGGGAAAAAAGAAUUGGGAGGGAAGGUGUCAUUUCUUGUCAACCCCUACGUUAGACUCCAAGUUUUUUGAUACUGUAAUGGUUAGUGGAUUCAUAUUCAUCCAACAAAAAUGUUAGGUUAUGAUGGCUCUUAGCCUUUUCUUUAUUUAAAUUCGUCUCCCUCAUUCCUAAUUUCAUAUAUACUUAGGUCUGACGCUAGGCCGGUGAGUUUCUGAUGAUGCUUACUCGGACCAUAUAGUCAUUCAUAAUGGAACAACAAUACUUUAUUGAUUUGGAUCAUACAAAUUCGUAGACAUGAUAAUUAGCAAGACAUACAAACUCGAAUACAUAUCUAUAGAUGCUCAAAAUAUGAGAAUUUCAUCGACUUCUAUGGUAUAAUGUUGUAAUCUUAAAUAUGACCAUUUGGGUCAAACUGAGUGACCAUACCAUCUUGAAUGAUGAAAGCAACUUAUAUAACUAUAGUUUGGAUUAAAAAUUGUAUAAUUUGUUCGGCCACGCUAACAAAACAACUAAUCUAUUAAAAGAAUAAACAUGUCAUGACUAUUGUAUUGGAUUUUUUUUUUUUUUGGUUCAACAAUUAAGAACAAAAAUAUUCUGUUUCUAGUAUAAAUACCAAAUGUGACUCUUCAUUGUGGGAUUAGGACCAAAUUAUGAGCAUUCCCUUGGUUAGGUUUGAACUUUGAAUUACGCUUCAAAUACAAUAAAAGAAACAAGUAUUGAUACGAAUUUAGUCAAGAAAAAAAUAUCAUUAUUUAGUUUUCUUUCUUAGUUGGAUUUAACUACAAUUAUAUUAUACAGUUUAAAAUACAAUUCUUUCUUAAUUAUACUUACUUUGUUGGGCUCUGAACUUAGGCCCAAUAUUUUUUCAAAUGUUUUAUAACCUCUACAAUUCGUCAUGACUGAUAAAAUGUAUAGGAUUUGAAUUUUUAUAAAGUUCAUAACUUGGUUUAAAAAAAAAAAAAAAAAGAAGAAGGUCAUAACUACACGCUCAUGAAGAAGGAAAUGGGCCAUUAAAGGUUAUCCAUUUCGAUGCAUGGGAUCCAUGGAAGUGAAGCAUUCACCGUUUCUCAAGCCAAAAAACUGACGUUUCUUACAUAAUUAACGACCAUGGGAUCUAUAUAAGAAACGAUCUAUCAUUAUCCACACAACGUAAAAUUUUAUUAGUCCUAAUCUUAUACGUAAGUUUUGUGUUUAAAGAACCGUUCCUGAAACGUUUGAGACCUAGUUUGGAUAGACUUGAGAAAAAAUGUCUCUUUCCAAAACCAAUGAUAUAAUAACUUUGAUCUUAAUAACAAUUUUAACUAUGCGUUGAUCUCUGUUCCCCGGUCAAGAAAGAUUUAUCCUAAAAUUAAUCUUUCAUUUUGUGUUGCAUCAGACGUUCACUCAUUUCUUUAGAAAAUCAUAGUCGACGCUGAGUUGGCCAAAGCACAUGAGAGCAUGGGUUGCAUGCAUAUAUCAAAUAUCAUACCUGUAUAAUUUGAGUUAAGUUUGGUUGAUGUAACCAAUCAAUCAAACAUUUGCAACAAACACAUGAUUGUCUUAUAUCCAUCCAUGAUCCAUAUAUAUACUAAUAGUAGACCAGUAUGGGCGCUAAAUGUGAAGUGUAGUAGCUGGCAAAAAAUGAACUGAGAAGAAGAAUCAACAAUAAUAAUAUACAUGAGAAAUCAUGUUAACAUUUAUGCAAAGCACAUGUACGAUUUAUAAGAUAUAUAUAGUCCGGCCCGAUAGAAAACCCACUAGUUCCAUGCAACGUGUUUUAUUAGGGCAUCUCCAACAGGGGUUCUGUUGUGAGUAUGUCUUCAUUAAAAAGUUGAAAAAUAAAUCAAUAAUCAGAAAUAAACAGAGAACUGAUUCUCUUAAGAGAGGUUAAAGAACUUCACAGAACCCAUGAUAUGGACAUUUUUCAUUGGUUGAAAUCUAUAUUUGAUGUAAAAAAUAAAACUCUUCUUUUCUUUAAUUUCUUUUGUUUAUUUUUGCCCAAAAAAAUAAAACACUUCUCUCUCUCCUCUCAAUCUCUCUCUAUCGAUGAAAAAAACUCUUUUCUCUCAAUCUCUCUUCUCUCAAACACUUACGAUUUGUAUUUUUUUUUUUUACAUUUAUGUCAUGUUUUAAAUAAAUUUAUGAAUUGCAAUAAGUUUUUUUUUAAUUAAAGUUAUGUUUAUAAAUUUUAACAAAUUUACUUCUAGUUAAAAUAUUAUGAAUUUUUGAAAAUCUAUAUAUAUAUUUUUUAGAGAACCCCAACUUGAGAACUCUAUCAUUGGAUAUACAUAAAUUAAAUAAAUUUGUAAGAUAUUCUCAACCAAAAAAAUUUCAAAAUUAUUAAUAAAAAUAUUGAAGAGAACUCAUUAUGAGUUCUCUUGGAUGGAGUUGGUCUUAUGUACAUCAGGAAAAGAAUCGGUGCGAUCAUAGACUUGGAUAUUCAAUACAAUCAUCAUCUGGUUCACGAUUAUUUUAUUUUAUGUACACCGUAUGGACUAUAUACUAUUUUAAAUAGAAAGUCACAUAUUAGUGUAUCAUUUUGCAAAAAGAAAAACGUAAUAGUAUUUUUUUGGUAGAAAGAAAAACGUAAUAGUAUUACGUAGUGAAAUAGUUUAAUUUGAAUGUAUAAACAAAAGAUUAUUUUCGAAUAUGUGUUAUGGGAAAAAAAAAUGUAUAAAAUGUUCCGAGAUCCCGCCAAAUUAACCCGAAAAAAAACCUCAAAAGAAGGAAAGAACAUAAAAUAGUAGGGAGCUGUUUCCGUAAACUACGGUGCUUCUCCUCUUCCAUGAACAUAACAUGUAAAUUUCAAAUCAUAAUAUAUAAAGAAACUGUAUAAAUUUAUAGUUUUUUUUUUUGAUAAAAUAGUUUCUUUUGUUAAACAGAGAACCAUGCAGCUGCAGUGGGAAUGUUACGUAUGGGGGCAAUGAUCGAUCGGACGGUGAGAAAUUAAUGAUGAAAGAAUGGGACCUCAAGUGACCUAUCAGGCACGUUAAUUUGCCGAGAGAAGGGUAAUAACACCAACAACUCCAAAAUGGUCACUCAGAUAUAUAGCCACACACAUAGCCAUCUUUAAUUUGUUCAAGCUGUCAAAAACCCUAAAACUUCGAAACUAGCCUAGCCCACUUGAGAUUUCAUCAUCCUUCGAUCAUUGUUCAUUAUCACACAUACAAUUGCAUGUGAUUCGUAGAGUGGUCCAUUUCGUUAAAUCACUGUACCACGUUCUCUCAAAUGUAGUAUUGAAAUUGUGAUUGAUCAAAUUAAAAAAAAAAGAAAGUGAUUGAUUAAUCAGCCCCUUAAGUGUCUUAAUCCUUCUUUAAUACUUGAUUGAAAUUAUAAACUGAAAAUAACUAGGCUCAGAUUGUAAAAAAUGAAGAAAAAGUAGUAAAGAUAUUUGUGAUAUUAUAUAUUAGAAAAGACUUGUGCAACCAUGUAGUCCCAAUCAACAUUUCAACAAUGGUAAUGUAAACAUAUUAUAUGGAGUAAUAUUAAUGAGAAAAAAGACAAAUAGAAAUGAGAGAUCGAUGAUCGCGUCAAUGUCGAGUAUGGAUGGCUACAAACGAGAGUUUGGAAAAGCUCAGCUGUCGAAAACACGUGCAUAGUAUCUAUCCAGUUGGCACUUACAAACAUUGCAUAGUGUCGGUCCAGAAACAUUUAACAACACACCCCAACUCUUAGGAACAGACACACACACAUUUGUAUUAUUAUUAGCCUCAUCAAUUUCACUAUCAUAUAAAAGUUUUUGGUCCCAAAUUACUUUCCAGUAGCUCUUUUAUAUUUGUAAACUAAACAAAAUCGAGCUGGCCGGAGAGCCAAAAUAAAAAUAAAUGAAUAGCCAAUUUACUUAAAAACCUAAACCUGUGAUCGAGAAGAAAAUGUAUUGUCGAUGGGAUAAAUAUUUUAAGACUGUAGAGUAAGGAACUCUAGAGUCUAUAUUUAUCAAGAUGUGAUAUCUAAUGGUAUUUCAGUUACCAAACUGUAUUAUUUUGUUGGUAAAUGUCAUACUUCCAAGAGGUGGUAAUGAACAACAAAACUCAUACAUUUUAUAGUAGUUUUCUAAUGUAUUUAAAGAUUUUAUUGCAAAAUUUUAUUUUAUUGUAGACUUUAUUGGCUGAACAUUUGGUGCUUAUUGUAAUCUUAAUAUAAAUAACAAAACAAAACACAAAAGUUUAGUGAAUCCAUCCAGCACGUGAAUAUAUACGCUUACGAAAUUUAGGAAAUAAUUGAAACCCGUGAAAUAAUUACAAAUUAAACGACCGACGUAUACUAUUAUUAUUACAAUUUUUGUAUUUGGAUAAUGCUUUCUAAUUGCACAAAACAGAUCGAGCGUGUGGACGUAAUCAAGCAUUUUUUAUAAACAACAUAUUCCACAAUUGUACUAAAUUAAAAGACAACCAAAAAAAGCAUAGAAGACUCAAGACUCUAUAUAAAUAUGUAAGCACCCGCACGUUCGUUUGCAUCACAGCUCAUUGAAGUGUUGUCAUUAAACAAAAAAACACAAUGGAGGAGCCGAAGAAAUACAAGAGGAUGGUAGUGAAGCAGACGAUGAACAAGAACAAGAAGAGGAAGAAGAACAAAACGGGUCAUGGAUCCGGGUUGCUCCAAAUGAAGGUGAGGAGACUCCAAAUACUGAUACCGGGUGGGCAAAGAUGCAACCACCCGGAUCUGCUUUUAUCAAAGACACUUGAUUAUAUUGUGCAUAUGAAGUUGAAGCUAAGAAUUCUUAAAGCUCUCUCCGAUAUGUACUCUCUUUGAACUUAUCGUAAGAUAUAUUAUUCGUAACAUUAUUCUUCUUCUCUCCAUCGUCCUCUGUACUAUAUAGAUUUGAUCCAAAGUGUUGCCAAAAUUAAUGUUUGAUAUUCCGUAUAAUGGUUUUUAUCAUUUGUAGUAUUGCUUUUUGUCGCUUUUACCUUCUUUUAUAUAGUUUCUUGUCUAUAUUUAUAUGUGAAUCCGACAAUUAGUUGGAAAAUUUGACUAAUCUGAUACUGUCCAAAGCGUCUAGUUCCUUUUCAUCUUUUUCAAAAGCGUUCGUAUGAUAUUUAUUUCAGACAGUGAAACUUAGAUUAUUGUAGCCUUUGUUAUUUGUAGAUGAUUGUACAUUACGAAUUAGUUCAGUAGUACAAAGUGGAAUUGGUUAAGAAAAUUAUCUGAUUCCAUCUACUCGAUCGUCAUUCGAUGUGUGGAGAUUUUGUCACUCAAAUCUUGCCAAAGAUAUAACUUAUCUUCGUGGAUUUUGAGUUGUAAAGAUCUGUAUGAUUAGAGUGAUAAACCUUAAAAAAGAAGAAGACAAGACUCAUUAUUCUUAAGUAAGAAGAAAAAGAUACAAAAAACGUCACGUGUCUUUGACUUAAAGUCUCUUCACGAGGAACCUUCUAAAGCUCUCAGAGUCUUCAAAACACUUCUCAAUAGAUUCAUCAUAUACUUCUCCGUUUGAACUGCAAUCACUUCAUGCCCCUUAUUUUCUAGAAUUUUGAUUUAUCUUCGAAUACUUGAGCUACCUACUCAGCUCCCUUUGACCCUGAGAAUCUCCAAUGCACCUUCAAAUUUGUCCACACUCAAAAGUUUUGUGAAGAUAUCAUCCAAGUUGUGUACUUGUAUCUGUAUUCUAUUAGUAGUAAACUUAACCACUCGAAAUGGGAUAAAGCCAUCACUUCUCAUGACUCUCAUAACGUGUAACAUGACAUCUAAUAUUCCUUUUAAGAAAAAAAAAGUGAACUCAGUUCUUGAAAAUAAAAAGCAAUAGAUCUCUAUAUGAAAAUCACAUAGAACUUACACAUAUUUUGGGAAAACUAAAUCUGUUUUGCUAAAGCCUUGAGCCAACCUCCUUUUAAAUUGGCUUAUGUCAAUGCCAUAUACAUAAUGAAUCUCUGAUGAAAAUCUUAUAAUGUUUCAUGCCAAUGGUAGGUUUAAGCCUUUGGUGAAAAUCUCUGAUGAAACUAAUGAACUUGAUAAGCUUUAAGAAGUUUGAAUGAAUCCCAUCAAUGUGAAACCUUAUGUUGGAUGCUUGUUUAACAUUGUUGUAUACAAGUUUAUGUCAUUUGGUUCUUCGAUUCAAAGCCUAAGUUACCACAUAACCACUUUUUUGACAAAGAUAAACUUAUCUUCUUCUCUUCUUUUUUUCAUAUAAUAUAUUCCCCAAUACAAUCAAAGUAUGAGACUUUUCUUACAAGACAAGAGCAUAAUCAUAAAAUUUCUCCAUUCCCUUGCAAUGAAUCUCAAAAUCCCACCUAUACCCAAAACUUCUAAAUUCCCAGCAUAAUAUUAUCAAGGAAGACUGGUUUUCCCAGAAACUCUCAAGACCUGAGACUUUUCAUGUAUAUGGUGGAUAGUAUCCAUAUGGGUAACUAACAGAAUGAGAUCUGUAGUGAAGAUUCUGUUGAGUGUUAUUAUUCAUUUGAUCUCCAGACUCUAUAAGUUUAGGCUUAGGCUUAGGCUUAGGCUUAGCCACGCGCUUGCUGCUCUGAUCAUGGACUGCUCCAAAGACUAUUUCAUUAGUUUUCUCACUGUCCUCUUCAUAAUAAGUAUGUGGGAUCGACGAGUAAUGCCUUCGAUGCUGCUGCUUCUGGUGUUGCUGCUUUUCUUGCUGCUGCUGCUGCUGCUGCUGAUUGGGGAAUUCAGCAUCCCAGCUACUGUAGAAUGCACGGCUCUGACGCAGCUGUUGCAUUUUCUCUGCAUCUUUGGACAUAAAAGCAUAAGUUUUCCUUGGAGUUUGGUUCCUGGGCUCAACAGGAGGAGGUUCGUCUUCGUCUCGAAUCACAAAGCUCUCUUGAAUCGGCCAUGGAGUUGUUGUGUUAAAUGCAGCAGACAGCUUUGUUGUCCCUUGGUAUUCCUGAUAGCUGAUGCCUGUCUGCUUUUUUUUGAGGAUCUCCAUAGCAGAAUCCCAAGCAUUUGAAACGAGUUUUCCCAACGAUACCAUAAAGCUUUCCUCUUGUUUCUCUUGCUGCUCAUCUCCAGUUGGAAUCAGAGAUGGUCUAGAUGGUUUCAUAGGCUUUUGAUCAGGAUCCAUUUCGAACAGUUCUUGAUCCUGUGUAUGAAAGGUUUGACUAGUUUUAGAAGAACAUCUAUAAGACAGGGUAAUGUUUGGGAUGUUUUAGAGAAUAUUUAAAACACUUACGUUAUGAGAAGACACGAUAGAACCGACUCUUCGUUGCAACAGAGCCAGCAUAUAACCAAAGAAACCUGCAGCUACGAGAACUGCAAUCCCUGCGAUAUGUUGAAUCCAGAGACGGGUUAUUUAAAGAAUAAAACGGCAACAAACAGUAAGAGGGUUGGUAUUUUUCUAAGUUUUACCAAGAGGAAACCCGCUUCCAUACUGAUAAGCACAGUCGUCGAAAUGGAGUUGAAUCUCUCUGAUGGCUUUGUUUCCUCGGUCAAUAACGAGUAGGGAACAACUACUUCCAACAUAAACAACAUCAAAAUCGUUGGAGAACUUAGCAUCUUCACUUGGUCCAUCCACAUGCCCUCCAUUUCGAACCGUUUUCCCCCCAGCAAUUGUUGUGACUCCUAAAAUGGAGGUUUUAAAACUCAGUACAAGAAAAAGUAGAAUUCAUCACAAAACUCCCUAAAACCCUUCCAUGAAUGUAAUUAUUAUCCCAAUCUCAUAUAUAAACAAACUCUUACCCCCUUCACUUAUCUUCCUGAUAGCAUUAUUCACAGUGUCAGCCACAUAUAUGUUUCCUCUGUCAUCAACCGCAAGCCCGUUAGGAUGAUUCAGCUUCGCAUCACGUAAUCUCCCGUCCACAUGACCCGGAUAUCCUUCAGGGGAGCCAGUAACCAGUCUCGGCCUACUAUCUGCAAAUGUUACCAAUAGUCCCCACAUAAUUAAAACUCUGAUCCAGAUAGAACAUUUGAAAAACAAGAACUAAGCCAAGUUGCUAGAUAUCCAGAAAGAAACUAAGUCUUCAUUUUCACUUUUUGUAAUGACUUGAUAACAUACAAAUUAGUUUGAGCUGCAGGUAAGUAAAGCAUUGUUUCUAUUCUUGACCAAUUCCAUAGAGAAACACUUUUUGUUUUAGAUCUCAUCUUUGAAAAAGUCAGAUUCAGGAAAGAAAGUGAAAAAAGUACUAAAAAACUAUACCCGUAUACUGAUAUCAUCCCCGACAAACUCAUUCCAAAUACGACAAAGAUACAGCAAAAAAAAUCACCAUAUAAUAGUAAUAUAGCUUAGACUGGAAUUUUCAAUUGAGGUACCAAUAAAAAUUCUAUCAAUUUCCAUAUGCAGCAUCUUGUACAAUCCCAUGUGCAUUCAGUUUUAGGUGAUGACAAAGAACAAGCGUGGUCUCAACAUCAUCAAAAUCAUAUAGAAGAAUCUCAAUCUCUUUCAAAUAUAUAAAAAUCCACAAUGAGUUCUGACACAAACCCAGAAACUGAUUUUAAAAGAAACCAUAACUGAACUUACAUAGUGAAAGAGAAGAUGAGAUCUUGUAGAUGUUACUGUUCUCAGAAUCCAGAAUAAGUAGCUCUCCAUUGGGCAAUACCUCAAUCGAAUACGGUUCGAUACCGAGUUUGCUUCCAUCGAACACUGUCUCUACUUCAUACCCAUUUUCGAAUUUCACCAUCGAUCUAGUCGCAAUAGCUGAUUAACAAAAAGGAGAAACCUUUAUUGUCAAAAAAAAACUAAUCUUUGAAAAUAAAAAAGCAAACUUUAUGAUCAGAACAGGGAAAAGAAUCGAACUUGUUUUGGUGGUGGUUUUGAGUGACCAUAACCAUUUCAUUAGAGAAGAGCCAUGAUUUGAGAUGAACCCACUAACAAUCUCUGCGAUUAAAGACAUAAGAUUUGAAACAAAUUAAGCAAAGAAGCCAAGUGAGGGAGAUGAUGGUAAAGUUUAAACAAACGUGAUUAACACUUACUUGCAGGAGAAUUAGCUGAAGGAGCUGAAGAUACAAACCCAGAAAGGAGUAGAACGAGAAUACUCAGAACAAGAAAAUCUCUACCCAUUGAUUCGAUUUUUGAAAAAGGAGACAAGUUUUAAACUUGAGAAGAAGCGGCAGAGGAAAAGAGUAAGAACCCUAGUUUCAUACACAGAGAUUGUUCUUGGGAAAAGCAAAGAUAGGCAGAAGCAUAAUAAGAAUGGCGGACAAUGCAAAGAUUUAAACUUUGAGGUUACCUCGAUGAAAGAGAGAAUUUUUAUAAAAAGAGAGAGAACAGAGAGAGAGAGGUUAGAUUUUUGCAGAGUUUGUUGAUAAGCAAAAAAGAGUGAAGACAGUGUCUCAGUGAGAAAAAAGGAAAGGGGAAAGGUUUUAAUUAGAAGAACGAGACAGAAUAAAAUAGAGAGAGACGAGUGAGUCCAUCCAUGUGAUUGCGAUCAACGUCGUUACUUUUUUCUAAUUAAAUUAUAUGAUGAUUUUUUGUGUGUGUGUAUGGGUUGGUGAUUUAUUUAAUUUUGUUGUUUGUUUAAUUAGCAAUAUCAAAAUUUAACUUUUUUUGAGUUUAGAAAGAAUAAAUACCUACUAUAUUCUCUGGACUUGGUGAUUAUAUAAGUUUAGGUUGUGUAUCAGCUUUUAUAUCAUCAAAAACAAUAAGAAAGAUCAGCUUUAACAAUUUGUAUGUUUUUAUUUGAUGGAAUAUAUUCUAUAACUACAGAAUAAGUACAAAUGUUUAUAUCAUAUAUUAGAUUUUUCUGGUAAAGAUUGUAACUUUUUAGUAUGAAAGUUUAUAGUAUGGAGCUUUAUUCACUUUUAUCGUUUUAGAUAAUAUUUUGUGAGCAUAAAUGUCUUUAUAUAGUAUAUAUAUAUUCAUCCUAGAAUCCUAUAAAAAAUAAAAAUUUUAAAUUUAUAAACUACACUGAUAAUUUUGUCAUACACUAAAAUAAAAAAUUAGUCUUCAAAUUAAUAUUCCACAAAACUGUAAUGUAUUAAAAUGCGGUUUUAGUUAUGGUUGUAUUAAAUGUUAAAAUAAAAAUUUUAUAGACUUUUGAAAUUAGUUUAAUACUUUAAUUGUAUGAUUUUUUUUUGCUCUCUAGCUUUGUUCUUUGGAUGUCCAGUAACUCUGGCAAAGCAAGAAAUCCAAUCAAGAAAUUACACGUGUCAUUUAUGAUCCAUUUGGAGUACGUCACGUGUACGAAAGGUAACGUGUCUGUCUAUUUUUUACUCUAUCUUUUCUUUUUUUUAAGAUGAAACUAAUAAAGAGAGGGGUAAAGUAGUAAUUAAACGAAGGUUAGGGAGAGUCCAACAGUGCAUAUAUUCUCGCACCAAAAAUCCUUGUUUCGCGCUGCGUUUUAUCUAUUUUUAUUUUUAAAUUCACUUUGUUCUUUUGUUUUUUAACCUCUUUUCACUUGUUGUUUUUUACCUCCUUUUUAGUAUUCGAUAUAUUUUUUUUUAAUUUAUUUUGUAAAUGUACAACUUGUUAUGUUGUUGUUUUACCUCGUCUCUCAUAGUGAUAGAUUAAUAUCUUAAAUGGUAACUCAUGGUGCAAAGCAGUUAUAAUAGUAACGAAAAUAUUUAUAUUUCUACUUGACCACCAUUUACAUGUUGGUUAGCUUAACCAAAAAAUGUGAAAGAGAAACUUAAAUUGUCUUUUCAUGUGAGCACAACGGUGCACAUUUUGGUUUUGUCCUCUCUGAGAUCGUCUUCUUCUUUUCCAAUCAUUUAAGAUGUGGUUUCUUUACUUACAUAAUUUGUGUGCAACUUGGUCUCAUUGUAGUCAAGUUGGAGUAUAUGAUCAACGAACUAAACCUGGUUAAAGAAAAAAAGAAAAACAGAACACAGUUGGAUGAAACUUUUGAGGUUAAUUCUUCUACUAAAAGUUUGAAAAAAAAUAAUAAUGCAAAGUGAAGAACAUGAGAUUAAAAAAUAAUGAUACGUUUUAGAAAAAGAAAUAAUUUUUUUUUUUUGUGCUUAUAUGGAAAAAUGCAAAAGCAAUCGAAAAAGAAAGUUGAAAAUUGGUCCCCUUUUAAUCUUUAAUUGAUAAAAAAAAACACUUUAACUGAAGAAAAAAGAAGAUUCAUCAACAUGGAACUAUUUUUUUUUCUUUAGGAAAAUUGUCUUCUUUCUUUCUUCUUCUUUUAAGUAUAAAAUAUCAUCAACAUUAAUAAAUAAUCAUCAUGACUUUAACUAGUGAACCCUUAAUCUUCCUCCUAAACUAAGUCAUUUGAGUGAAACAUGACCUAUAUACAUAAGAAUAAACUCCCCAUAGGAGCCAAAAUACACAAAACCUACAACUCUUUCAUUCUCAAAUACUAGUUCACUAAGCCAAGAAAGGUGCCCUAGUAGCAACAUAUUUUUUCCAAGUUAAUGCGAACACUAGUUACCAAAAUUAGAAAACCUUACUAUUCAUUGAGUUUUGGAAAAACAAAAACGUUAAUAAUAUUUUAAAAAAACUUUAACAAAAAUAAAAGAGAAAACAACAGCACCACAAAGAAAACGAAGGCGGUGGGAUUGGGAUGAUGAACAUCGUGCGAGCCACGACCGUCGGAUAAUAAAGAAGAAGAAGAGAGGAUCGUUGGGGAAAUAAAUGGACAUGACAUAAAAUUACAAAACACCAAUUACUUUCUCUACUUUUGUUGGUCCCUCAACGACAACAACAACAUGAACCUCUCAAUUCCUUUGAUAAUGACUGAUGUAGUUGAGUUGAGCCUAGCUAUCCCAUUAAUGGAAUUUAAUAAAUUUUAAUUAGAAGACAAAAAAAACAACCAAAGUUUCUAUACAAAGGGCUAGAAAUAAAAAAAAGUUUCUAAUUUACCCAAAACCAACAGUGAAAAUAGAAGCAUAUAGAAGAAAAAAACAAUUCUUCAGUAGCCUCAUAUCUUUUUUUUUUUUUACAUAUUGAUGUUGUUAUGUUAUUUUUGGUUAUCUUUUUUCUGCUACGUCCCACUUUUUAAACGAUGCUUUCAAAUGCAACUUGUGUGUGACAAGUCGGUUUUAAGCUUGAUGAUGAGUCUCCUAGGCCUCUUAGAAGCUUAAGCACGUCGGCUUCAUCGUCCAAGAAGUACUUAGCUUUGCUUGGCUUUCUUCCAACCGUGCAUGCGUAAACCUCUGGUUGAGUCAAAAGCUCUGGAUUUGUCACUGUGCUUAGUAUGCUCUCGAACAUGUCCUCGUCUGAUCUAUCGUCUCCUAUGCACAUCACUAGUCCUGGUGGAUUCCCGCUUUCUACCAUUUCUCGGAUUACUUUUUCCGCAGCUAGACCUUUGCUUACACCCUGAGUUCAUUACAAUGCAUCAAGCUAAAAAAAAAGUACUUGUAGAUCCUAACAUUUUUUCAAGAUUUGCAAUAAUACUUGUGUAGAUGAAAGUGAAAGAGAUCUAUGCUUUUUACAUACCUGUGGUUUGACUUCAACGAUGUGUUGACCUCUUUUGACAACAACAGGCUCAUUGGCGAGAACGCUUUCUAGAUGAUCAAGAAGCUCCUUAGCUUGACAUGAUCCAAAGUCUGGAUCUGCGUCUUGAUGGUGCCACACCAAAGCACUCUCUUUGAACUCUAUACUAGUCCCAUCUGUUGCCUCCAUAUACGAUCUCAUAACUGGUUCCACCAUUGACCUCCACUCUGUCUCCGUAGACGAGUAACAAGUCUCCCACUCAUCCUUGCUAUUCCACCUACCACCCACAACAAAACAUGAAAAUGUCUUUUAUAAGUUUCUUUAGAACCUCUAUGGGGAAAAACAAGGCAAAACUGUGCAUUCAUAGUAUAAAAUAUAUAUACCUUAUGAAAUAUCCAUGUUCAGCUGCUAUUCCAAGAUUGUCACAAGGAGAUAGCCAAUUGCUCAGAGACUCUUUACCUCUUCCACUAACAAUGAAAACUGUGUUUUUGGGAUCUUCACAGAGAGCUUUCAGAACAGAGACAACCUCGGCGCUUGGAUCUUGAGCAAUGGAGCUUUCAGGAACAAGAGUGCCAUCAUAAUCAAGAAAUAUCGCCCUUCGCUCUUUAUUUCUAUAAAUCGGGACAAUGUGUUCCACAGAUAGCUUCCUAAAACUUGGAGAGAGCGACAAAACUCUGAACCCCAAUCCAAAUCCAAUCCCCCAACAACGUUUACUAUAGUGAUCCCUGCAAGCUCUCUCAAGAUCCUGCAUAAAGCUCUUUGCCCAGUAACCAACAUCAUGAGUGCUAAUAUAGUGGUAAUGUUUCUCAUGCCUUAGUUGCUUCUCGUUCUCACUCAUUUUAAGAGCAGAGUUCACCGCCUCUGCCACAGCAUCUACAUCCCAUGGAUUCACCCUGAUGGCACCACUCAAAGAAGGCGAGCAUCCAAUAAACUCAGACACAACAAGCGUGCUUGUGCGGGGAGAUGAAUCAUCAAGAACCUUGUUUCGAGUCCCUUGCCUGCAGACUAUAUACUUAUAAGGAACUAAGUUCAUGCCAUCUCUCACAGCAUUCACUAAGCAACAAUCUGCUGCUGCAUAAUACGCGGUUUUCUCAGAACGUGGAACAAGACGAUCGAUCAACACUAUUGGUUUAUAAUCAGGAGUACCAUAACGCUCAUUGAUCCUUUUCGCAGUCUCAUACGUCUCUCUUUUCGCUUCUUCCACAUCUUUACCAGAAGAUCUUGCCGGAUUCACUAUCUGAACAAGAACAACCUUCCCUCUCAAAUGCCAAUAUGUCUCAAAGAGAUGCUCCAUUGCAAUGAGCUUUAAGCUUAUACCUUUAAAUAUAUCCAUAUCGUCGAUGCCAAGAACCAGUUUCUUCCCUUUAUACUGUUCUUGAAUCUCUUUCGUCUUCGCCGCAGUAGAAUCAAGAUUCAAAACAGAUUCCAAUCUACCCAUAUGGACACCAACAGGAAGAAUUUUUAUAUACACAGUCCGACCAAAGUAAUCAAGUCCUAUAUGACCGCGCUUAGACUCAUAAUCAAGACCAAGCAUUCUACUACAGCAAGACAGGAAAUGCCUCGCGUAAUCAAACGUGUGGAAUCCAAUGAGAUCACAGUUCAACAAACCUCUCAAAAUAUCGUCACGAACGGGCAAUGUGCGGUAGAUCUCAGAAGAAGGGAAAGGACUAUGCAGGAAGAAACCAAGCUUGAUCCUAUUGAAACGUUUCCUCAAGAACGUAGGAAGAACCAUGAGAUGAUAAUCUUGAAUCCAAACAUAAUCAUCCUCAGGGUUGAUAACUUCCAUAACCCUGUCUGAAAAUAUCUUGUUGGCAGACACAUAAGCUUGCCAUAGACGCCUGUCGAAACGAUCUCCAUGAUCAGGAAACAUAGGAAGCAUGUAAUGAAACAAUGGCCACAACUGAUGUUUACAGAAACCAAGAUAGAACAUUUCCUGCAACUCCUUAGACAAAAACGUCGCAACGCAGUUAAACUCCUCUAAAAGCUUCUGAGAAACUUCUUCUUGCUCACUCGACUUGAUAUCAACGUUAAGUGAUCCAACGUAGAGGAACUCUGUUUCUGAAGAGAACCCAUCUCUGAGUUGCAACUGAAGAGAGUCUUCGUCCCAGUUAAAACACCACUUACCAGUCUCAGCAUCUCUUUUAGAUUGGAGUGGUAACAUAUUAGCCACAAUGAUCUUCCUCUCACGUGAACCACCGGAGGAAGAAGUUACCUCAGAGUAUUCAUCGCCGGCUUUGUCUCCGUCUAAGUCGGAGAUGAUUCCCGGAACAGUCAUGACGCGAGGAAGAGCUCUUGGAGUCUGAGGAAAAUCCAAAAGAUCCCAAGAUGAUAAGUCUAGAAAAUUAGCACAAGAUCUUGACACCAUGGAGAAGAAGAAACAGAGCUUAAAAAGUGCUUGUGUCUUGUUCCAAAAAACCUUUAAAAUGCUAACAAACAACAAAAAAACAAAAAAAAAUCAAUUACUACCUUAAAAAAAAAAAAACUUUCUUGUUUCAGAUUCAAGUACAUAUAAUCUUCUCAUUCAAAUAUUAUGAACAUCAAAUCACCAUUUCCAUAUAUAUAUACAACAAACUGGUUCCUUCAUAACUUUAUUUUAUAACCAAAAAAACAAAUAUUAUCAAGAUCGG